UGGAGAGGAGACUAGAAGCAGGAACACGGCCAGAAAUGUGACUGAGCAUGACCAAAAAUGAGCAAGUAACUUACCAUCCAAUCACACACAUGCUUGUAGUACUGCAAUACUGAUCUCAAAUGUUGCAGGUACGAUAGUAUAUCCAUAUGUGCAUAGAGUGAUGUAUUUGGGAAAUUUCUGCGUCUCACCAUUAGAAGUAAGGAAAUAACCUAGUAGGGCAAGAAGUGUUUUAUAGAACGUGACUAGCCUGACAGAUAAUGGACACUUGGGUGGUAUUAGUCUGUUUACUUGUAUAUAAAAGAAAAAUUAUUAGUGGUUAUGGGAAAGUUAUGCACGUUAAAUUUACAGCAUUACUAAUUUUUGACAUUCAGUAUAUUAGUUGUAAUAAUAUUCUCUAUCAGUAAAAUUGUCAUUGUUAUAAUUGCCUCUAGUAGUUACAGUUCUCUCAGGCAAUCAAUCAUCAAUUUUCAGUGUUUUGUUUUCCUAUAGCAUUUAUGGCUCUUACAAACAGUGCUUGUUGUCUUUUUUUCUUUGCUACUGCAACAACAUACUUCUAUUUAGGUCAUGGAUCUUUUUGUGUUGAGUUAGUGCUUGCAAUUGAUUAACAUCUAUUAUUUAAUGUACUUUUUCAAUAGCCUGAGGCUGGUAUGGCCUUGUGGAGAAUAAAGGAAAAAAAGAAAACUCCAGAGUUAAGUUCAAAUAUAAAUGUAUUUUUGGUUACAUUUUAUAGCUCCCUGGCUCACAGUGUUUGUAGACAAUUGCAUUAGAUUCAUGGCAUUUCACAAAAGCUUUUAGGGCUGUUUGACAGAAAUAUGGAAGUCUGGAAGCUAUGUAAUACUGACAAACUAUUAACAGUGUUGUUAGCUAAUGGUUUAAUGUAGAAGUCUGAAUAUAAAUUAUACUAAAAAAAGUAUGUGGCAAUGUUAUUGUAGAAAAGUCCAAAUAUAUGGUACGGUCAAUGCAUGCAAAUUUGCCUAUUAUUUUUAACAAUGUUGGAAUAUGAGCGAAUAUCUGCUACAUUUGUUUUUAUCAUAGAGCAACUGAUACUGGCCAUGUUGGGAGGGUUGUCAGUAUACCUCUUAAUGUUGGGAGGUAUGAAAUAGGGGCUGUAGAGGGAUGUGCUAAUAGUCCAACAUGCACUAAUGUUGAGGUGGAAGGUGCACCAAAAAAAAAAAGGAGGGCAUUAGUUUUUUUUUUUUUAAGAUAUACAUUUUGUAGAGAGAAACUCUUGAGAGUUGUGUACAAACUGCAGAUCUGCAUUAUGUGCUCUCUGUGCUAUGCCUUUCCAUUCAUUCACAGUGUGUAGAAACAUAUGUACACUGGCAAUUUAAAGGGACACUAUAGGUCCCAACCCACUUCAGCUAACUGAAAUGGUCUGGGUACAGUGUCCAUGUUGCACUUAGUGCUGCAAUGUAAAACAUUGCAGUUUUAGAGAAACUGCAAUGUUUACAUUGCAACACUAAGGCAGCCUCGUUUGGCCGCUAACUGACACUGGAUGUCCUCACGCUCAGCGUGAGGACAUCCAGCGUCAGCUAUUUCCCCAUUGGAAAGCAUUCAUUCAAUGCUUUCCUAUAGGGAUGCCUAAUGCUAGCGCAGCACUCGCUCCGCAUGCCCAUUAGCGCCCUAUCAUCUACUGACAAUGGAGGAGGCACAACUGCAACCCAAUACCGAGGGACAUCACCACUGGGAUCAGGCAAGUAAAUAAAGGGUUUCUUAACCCUUUAUUCAUUGCGGUGGGAGGAAGGGGGUAUGAAGACGGGCACGGAGGGGGGAGGCAUAUGGAGUUAUAGUGCCAGGAAUACAGCUUUGUAUUCCUGGCACUAUAGUAUCCCUUUGAAUAUGUUUAAUGAUGUGCUUGCCCAGAAAUUUUGGUGAAUUAGGACGUGUCCAAAAUCAGAACAAUUCAAUGUAUAUGGCACUGUGGAGAUAUGCUCAACUGUUGAAGUUGACUGUGCUAUGUUGAAGUGGAAUAAAUGUGGAUUCUACAAUUAGCUACCUAAAUCCCCAGGCUAUGGAAAGGGCAUUGCCAUGUGCCAAAAAGUACUGCAUAAUUAUUUAGUGAGGGGAAAAAAAACAUAAAGCUACAUUACUGAAGAAGGAAUAAUUAAAAUAUACAUUUGAGUGUGUAGCGGAGCGCUAGUCCUGACAAGGACAUUCCCUCCACUAGAUCCGUGAAGACAGGAAUUUAGGAACAAGGCACUGAAAUGUGAAUAGCUCUAUCCCUCCCCAGUAACUGGACGAUACACAGUUCUGAGUGUACAACUGACGUAUUCAGCUCAGACACAGCUUUUUAUGCACAGACCCCCGGCAUGGGGUCUCCAUUCAAAAUAUUCACAAUCCCCUCCCAGACAUCCCUGUGUCUGUGAGAUAAUGGAGUAAAAACUGAGUAACUAAAUUAUCUCUCCGUUACAGGGAAAUACAGGAAACCUACAUAAACACCCCAAAAACAUUGUCAUAUUUUAUAGGAACCCGACAAGUCUUAUAUCCCCUAAAAGCCCGUAUUUGAGCGCCCAACAUAUCCAAAUAGCGCUCAAUACAGUUUGGUGGAACGGAAUCGCCGUUUUGGGUAAAGUUUUGACCAGCCGGCUACAAGGCGAUGGCCCAAAACCAUUCCAGAGAAAUGAGGACAAUGGCCAGUCUCCUUUCGUGGGUUCCUGUGUGAACACCAACGAAUGCUCCCCCUGGCUUUUGGGGAGCGAAUGCUCUCCCCAGCCGGUAGUUCCAAUCCAUCGAAAAACGUUUGUGUAGUUGGUUGGUAAGUGAAAUGGGCAGCGGUACCAUAUUUGCCCGGGUUUGCAAGACUGAAAAUAGUUCCAGGCAUUCGACGACCAUGUACCGCUGCCUGUGUUCGGGAGACAAAAUGGCCGCAAUUCGCUAGAGCACGUUUGUUCGGUUAUACUGACGGUGGCCACCCAGGAAAAGCACUUGAGUUAACGACUUAAUGGCGGUUAACAGCCAGGGGUGGUCGGUGUUCGGGGAUGUAUAAAAGGGGGAACCACACACCAUCCAUUCGGGAAACAAACAAGGGGGUAAGGAAAACCAAACAAAAGUGGAAUGAGUCUGCUACAGAGUGUUAAUCUAAUGAUUCACACACUUGGAGCUGAAGUACAACACACAUGUUCUAAUAGCUGGUUUUUUAUCUUGGUUCCUAAUUGGCAGAUAAUGAAUGGGAGAUUUAGUCCAGGAAGCUGGAGGGGAGAGUUUGUAGUCUGUUGCUUUAUUGGAUCGCUAGGAAAACACAAUAAAAAUGGCUAAUGGAGUUGUGAGUAAAAAAAAUAGCAACAACCAAAAACAACAAAAAUAGAAGCAGUCUAUACUAACUAUCUGUAGAGUAUAUAAACAUGCUAAUUUUAUGUACACAGCACUUCUGAAAUAUCAAUUCAAUGAAUCCUCUAUAAAGCUAGAAACUCAUAAUGAGAAAAGCUUCACAUCAAUCUUACAUAAGUCCUUAAAGCAAAAUAAAAAUAGAGAGAAAGGGCCAGAGGCUAAUAAAGUAAAAACACAAUUAUCAGUAAAAACUUGAAGCUUCUUAUGCAAACACAAUGUGAAUGCUAAUCAUGCUUUCAUAUAAACUGCAUUAGUAAAUUAGGAUAACUUCUAGCAUCACAAGCUAGCUGCAUGGCCAAUAUGAAAAAUCAAGCCUCCGGUGUUGUAAGCAGUCACUGACCACUUUGUUGCACUGCUGGAGUUAGUGUCUACCUUAGUUGUUUAGAGACUGCAUCUAGGAUCGAAAACAACCAGGUUUAUUAUUAUUUAAAGUCCCCAUCAAAAUACGACUUACAUUACUUAGGCUUUUCUUGUAAUGUUAAUUAUUGACAGCAUUGCAUUUGUGCAACAAGAAGUCCAAGAAGGUCACUGCCAAUGUUAUUUUACUAGGUAUAAGCAGAGGCAUAUCUAGAAACCACAGGGCCCCAGUGCGAAAAUUGCCCUGGGCCCCCUCCUCCUCCUGCCCCUCCAUUUUUAGAAUAUAACACAUACAGAUACAUACACGGACACACUUGCUAAUAAACAGACACACGUAAUAACACACAUUCAGAUACACCGAAUGACACUUCUACAUACACUAAAUGACACGCACAUAGAUACAAACAGUGACACACAUACAUAUACAUAGGGGCACACACUGACGCACAUGCAGAAAGAUACAGGUACAGACACAUGCAGAUACACAUACACAUACAGACACAUAGAAACAUAUCGACUUGCAUGCAGGUACAGACACACUUAAUGACAAACAUUUAGAUACACCGAAUGAUAUGCAGAAAACCAGAUACACAUACAGACACAGAACAUAUAGAUACACAGACACACAUACAGACAGAUACACAUAUAGACACGCAUGCAGAUACACAGACACACUUAAUGACAAACAUUCAGAUACACAGAAUGACAAGCAUUCAGAUAUAAACUGUGACACAUAUACAGAUACUUAGCAGCACACACUGACACAAAUGCAAACAAAUACACAUACAGGCAUAUAGAUACCCACACAGACAAACAGAUACACAUACAGAUGCACAUGCAGAUACACAGAUACACAGGCAAAGAUAGACAUAUAGACAAACAUGCAGACAAAGAGAUACACAUACAGACACAUACACACACACACACAUGCAGAUACAGACAUUAGCACACACAAAAUUUGUCACCCUCCUGUUUCCUACCUUUAGGUGCAGGAGGGUGAAUCCCCUGGGGUCCAGUGGCUGCCUAAUGCUGAUGGGAGUCAAGCUCCCACUCUGACUCCCUCCUCUUCUUCCCUCUUUGCUCUCCUCCCGCGCGGUUCUGUUAGCUGGGAGGAAGUGACUGCUUCCUCCCAGUGCUCUGACGUCAUCACUGACAUUAAGAGUGCGACCAGACCCCAGGAAAUUCAUUGCCAUCGGGUGGCCCCAAGAGCAUGGCCCACCCGAUGGGCAACCUUUAACGCAGUCCCAACGGUUGCUCCGUGCGACCGCACCACAAUGCCGGCGAACACCCCGGUCACAGGGGUCGGCAGGGCGGCCAUGCCCCCCUGAGUGACAGGUCCGGUCGCAGCUGCGACCCCUGUGGACGUGGAAGUUCCAACCACUAGGUGUAAGUAUUUAUACUCUUAGUCAGUAAUUGAGUCUCAGCAGGGAUUUAAUACGGAAUCACUGCAGGGGUUUAGCUGAAAAAAGCAAGUGGAGUUCCGUUGGGAUGUCUGUUAGCAGAGACUUGCAGGAGUGAGGCAGCUGUCUGUACUCGUAAAUGAUUUUGCCUGGCCAGCACUGUUUGGGUUUGUGUUAGGACUGGUGGCCCAGGAACUCAGUCGUAUAGGCCAGUCCAGGCCUGGAGAAGACUAUUUCCAUGAAGACUGCAGUAUCUGGGGCCAAUCUGGUUUCCAUAUUGUGAGGAGUGUGCAUGAUGUAGAGGUGUUUGCUUGUGGCUAUAGGAUGAGAUGUUUCUUUUGUUGUUAUAGAGUUCUAUUGAACAUAGUUGGGGUCUUUCAGGCUCUGAAAAUUCAAUGGAACUGCAUCGUGGGUUAUAUUUUCAAGUUGUGCCUCCAGAACAUGGACAUAUUUAUCUAGAGAGAUAACUGAUAAUACAUACGAGAGAAUAAAUAAAGAGUAAUUUAUGAGGGAUGAUUUCUGGUUGAAUACAAUUUUUACUAAGGCAGUAGCAUGUGUCAAGUUGAAUGUAAAAGAUUUUAGGAAAAAUGAAGCAAAAAUAAAUCAUAGCCUUUUAUUGUGGUCAGCCUAAGGCAGUCAUGUGCAAUAAUCAUGCUGUGUAAUCAGCAUCUUGAUAUGCCACACCUGUGAGGUGGAUGGAUUAUCUCGGCAAAGAAGUGCUCACUAACAGAUUUAGACAGAUUUGGGAACAAUAUUUGAGAGAAAGGGGCCUUUUGUGUACAUAGAAAAAGUCUUAGAUCUUUGAGUUCAGCUCAUGAAAAAUGGGGGCAAAAACAAAAGUGUUGCGUUUAUAAUUUUGUUCAGUGUACGUUUUUUGUUUUUUUUGUGUGUGUUCACUUUGACUUGAUUACGUUUUUCGUUUUUAUUGUUGAUUUUGUUUUUUGUUUUCAUCAUAUUUUAUGUUUUAGAUUUGUUUUUUGCUCAUUCAGGCUACAUUCUUUUUUUUCCUUGUAUUAUAGUGCUAUCUAGAAUCCUUGCUUAUCUUCUGUUUAAGGCAGGCAGACUAGGCCAUUUUUGCUGUUAUCAAUUGUCAGUAUCCACAUUUCUGAAACACUAGAUGUCGUUAGUUGCCCUGGUGACAUGAAUAAUGCAAUCUGAUUUGACGCAUUACAGUCCAAAAUGACACUGCCGGCACAGAAAAUUGUCUUCUUUUGAAAAUAGCUAUAUGCAUAUUUCCCAGUUGGAUUUUUGUAAAUCCACUGGGAAGGUAAACUCCGUAAUUUCCGAGAAAGAAGCAAUAGAAAAUCUAUAAAGUUUAAAACUGCCAAUAAGCCUUUUAGGGAAAUGUACACUCUUUGGAGUUCUAUUUCUUUUAUCCUGAAUAUUCCAUUUGUAGCUGUGAAAUCCAUUCUCAAAGCUAUUAGGAGAGGAGCCUAAUCUUGACAUUUCUAACUUCGGUCAAAGUUAAUUUUAUUUAGUGAAAUGUCCGUUUGUAAACUGCAUACUGAUAUUACUCCAUUAAGGAGUAUCCAUCAAACAAUAUAAUGAAAACCAAAAGCCUUUUACUGCUUUAGAAAGUAUAGUUACUUUUAUUAGGUGUGUCGGAAAUCAAGUUUAUUCCUUUGGGGUUUCCAGUUCAGAACUCAAUGCCUAUACUUUUGAGCAUUAUAGAGAAAGUUAAGUGUUAAGAUGGUUUCUGUAUCUGAGUAUGUGGCCCCAGUCACAUAUGCAUACCUCCCAACUCCAGAUCCAUAGAACUGGGUCAGUGGUGGGUAGAGGGGAUGGACCAGUGAUGCGAUCAGGUCACUGGCUCUGCCUAAAAAGGGAUUGGAUCCAUUCCCUUUACUGGCAGUUCAGUCUGCCGUGAAUACAUGCCAGACUGCCAUUCUAUCUUUUGAGCCAGCUUACUGAGGACAGAUGCUGCACGUAGCACCAUUCCUAGAGCUUUGAACAUGGCGUGCGUGCAUGUAAUGAUGUGCUCACGCUAUGAUUGUUUGGAAAUGUUCCCUGGCUUUGGUACGGCAUGUCAGUACCCAAAAUAAUUACUGUCCCCAGGGCCACCACCAGAAAUUUUGGGGCCCCUGACACAGCACAUAGUCUGGGCCCCCUCCCGCCCGGCCCGCCUACGAGUCCGCCCACAGGACUCCUACCUAGUCCGCUGCAAAUGAUGCAGGACUGAAUGUGGUGUGUAUAGUGGAAGUGAAUUAGAAUGUGUGUAAUGGAUGUAGUGUUUGUGUGUAUUAGAUACUGUUUGUGCAGUGAAUGCAGAGUGUGUGUUUGUGUAGCGGAUGCAGUGUGUAUAGUGAAUGCAGAGUGUGUUUGAGUAGUGGAUGUAGUGUGUGUUUGUGUAGUGGACUAGAUGCAAUGUGUUUAGUGGAUGCAGUGUCUGUAGUGGAUGUAGUGUGUGUAUUAGAUGCAGUGUCUCUGUAUAGUGAAUGCAGAGUGUUUGAAUGUGUGGUGGAUGUAGAGUGUGUACUGUGAAUACUGGAUGUUUGUUUAGUGGAUGAUGUGUGUGUCAGUGUAGUGGAUGCACAGUGUGUGUCAGUGUAGUGGAUGCAGAGUGUGUGUCAGUGUAGUGAAUGCAGAGUGUGUGUCAGUGUAGUGAAUGCAGUGUGUGUGUUAGUGUAGUGUAUGCAGAGUGUGUGUGUGUGUUAGUGUAGUGUAUGCAGAGUGUGUGUGUUAGUGUAGUGAAUGCAGUGUGUGUUAGUGUAGUGAAUGCAGUGUGUGUGUUAGUGUAGUGUAUGCAGUGUGUGUGUUAGUGUAAUGAUUGUCGUGUGUGUGUUAGUGUAAUCAAUGCAGAGUGUUAGUGUAAUCAAUGCAGAGUGUUAGUGUAAUGAAUGCCGAGCGUCUGUAAGUGUAAUGAUUGCAGUGUGUGUGUUAGUGUAAUGUAUGCAGUGUGUGUUAGUGUAGUGAAUGCAGAGAGUGUGUUAGUGUGUAGUGAAUGCAGAGUGUCUGUUAGUGUAAUGAUUGCAGUGUGUGUGUUAGUGUAGUGUCUGUAGAGUGUGUUAGUGUAGUGAAUGCAGUGUGUGUGUUAGUGUAGUGAAUGCAGAGUGUGUGUUAUUGUAGUGGAUGCAGUGUGUGUGUUUGUGUAGCGGAUGCAGUGUGUAUAGUGAAUGCAGAGUGUGUUUGAGUAGUGGAUGUAGUGUGUGUUUGUGUGUACUAGAUGCAAUGUGUUUAGUGGAUGCAGUGUCUGUAGUGGAUGUAGUGUGUGUAUUAGAUGCAGUGUCUCUGUAUAGUGAAUGCAGAGUGUUUGAAUGUGUGGUGGAUGUAGAGUGUGUACUGUGAAUACUGGAUGUUUGUUUAGUGGAUGAUGUGUGUGUCAGUGUAGUGGAUGCACAGUGUGUGUCAGUGUAGUGGAUGCACAGGUAAGGCCGUGCAGUGGACGGUGCGCAGCAGUAACGAACGCAGAGUGCGCGUCAGCGUGAAGUGGAAUGCAGCCGCAGUGUUAAAGUGUGGUGCGAAUGCUGCGUGUGCGUGUUAGCAGAAAGUGUAUGCAGAGUGUGUGUGUGUGUGUUAGUGUAGUGAAUGCAGUGUGUGUUAGUGUAGUGAAUGCAGUGUGUGUUAGUGUAGUGUAUGCAGUGUGUGUGUUAGUGUAAUGAUUGCCGUGUGUGUGUUAGUGUAGUGUAUGCAGUGUGUUAGUGUAAUCAAUGCAGAGUGUUAGUGUAAUGAAUGCAGAGCGUCUGUAAGUGUAAUGAUUGCAGUGUGUGUGUUAGUGUAAUGUAUGCAGUGUGUGUUAGUGUAGUGAAUGCAGAGAGUGUGUUAGUGUGUAGUGAAUGCAGAGUGUCUGUUAGUGUAAUGAUUGCAGUGUGUGUGUUAGUGUAGUGUCUGUAGAGUGUGUGUUAGUGUAGUGAAUGCAGUGUGUGUGUUAGUGUAGUGAAUGCAGUGUGUGUGUUAGUGUAGUGAAUGCAGUGUGUGUGUUAGUGUAGUGAAUGCAGAGUGUGUGUUAUUGUAGUGGAUGCAGUGUGUUAGUGUAGUGAAUGCAGUGUGUGUGUUAGUGUAGUGAAUGCCGAGUGUGUGUCAGUGUAGUGGAUGCAGUGGGUGUGUCAGUGUAGUGGAUGCAGUGGGUGUGUCAGUGUAGUGGAUGCAGUGGGUGUGUCAGUGUAGUGGAUGCAGUGGGUGUGUCAGUGAAGUGAAUGCAGUGUGUGUGUGUGUGUUAGUGUAUUGGAUUGCAGUGUGUGUGUUAGUGUAGUGGAUUGUAGUGUGUGUGUGUUAGUGUAGUGUAUGCAUAAUGUGUGUUAGUGUAAAGAUUGCCGUGUGUGUGUUAGUGUAAUGAAUGCAGAGCGUCUGUAAGUGUAAUGAUUGCAGAGUGUGUGUUAGUGUAAUGAUUGCAGAGUGUGUGUUAGUGUAGUGAAUGCAGAGUGUCUGUUAGUGUGUAGUGAAUGCAGAGUGUCUGUUAGUGUAAUGAUUGCAGUGUGUGUGUUAGUGUAGUGUCUGUAGAGUGUGUGUUAGUGUAGUGAAUGCAGUGUGUGGGUUAGUGUAGUGAAUGCCAAGUGUGUGUGUCAGUGUAGUGAAUGCAGUGUGUGUGUGUUAGCGUAGUGGAUUGCAGUGUGUGUGUCAGUGUAGUGAAUGCAGAGUGUGUGUCAGUGUAGUGAAUGCAGAGUGUGUGUCAGCGUAGUGUAUGCAUGCAGUGUAAUUGGAGCAUUCCAAAAAUGUUAUUCCCCCCUCCCUGUUUCUUACCUGGUUCAGGGAGGGGAAAGAUACCAUGAUCCCUGGUGGUCCGGUGGCAUUGUGGGGCCCCCCGGCUCCUUGUACUUGCAGAGGGGGCCCAGCGGACUGCAAGUGUACUUACAAGCUCUUCCCUCUCUGUAACUCCCGCGAGCACGGCAUUACCAUGGGUUACCAUGGCAACGCUCUGGCGGCCGUGGGUAUCGCGGGAGUUAGAGAGAGGGAAGAGCUUGUAAGGCUGCACCUGAACUGCAAAUAUAUAUAGCGAUCAUCGCUAUAUAUAUAUAUAUAUAUAUAUAUAUAUAUAUAUAUAUAUGUGUGCAGAGAGUAAUUGUGGGCCCUGGACGGCCAAAGCAGUCCGGGCCCCCAAGUACCGCCGGGUCCGUGACAACUGUCAUGGUUGUCACCCCGUGAUGGCGUCCUUGACUGUCCCACCAGAAUCGUGACAGUUGGGAGGCAUGUAUAUGUCUUGGUAGCACAGGUAUCUCCUGCUUAUCGCUCAUAGAGAUGUGCCUUGUCUUGCAUUGUCCUCCACACAUUUAAAGGGUUACUCUAGAAACCAUGAUCAUGUCAGUGCUUUGAAGUGGUCAUGGUGCAAAGAGUCUGUGUGUGCAACGUUUUAGUAUAAAACCUAUAGAUUUCAUAUAGCUGCCAGUGUUGUAAGUCCACCUCCUGGCAGCAUCGUUACCAAGCCCAGAUUAGAGGUCUGGCCUGGUCAGUGGGCAUUCUGUGCAUAAAAUACAUCUGUCAUCAUCACACAGAGCAUGCCAGUGAAAAAAGUCUCCAUCUUGCCAAAGUGAAUCACCUGGUAUAAAAGUAUAAAACUAAAUAGUGGAUCUAAAUUUGCUUAAAAUCUUAUUGAGGUGUAAUUUAUUGUCUUAUUGUCAUAAGAGUUAUACAUUUGGUUGCAGACGGGACUGCCAUUUUUUCAUAAAAUAGAUUGUGUCAUGUUUCCCACGUGUCAUAUUUGAAGUAUUUCUUGGAGGUUGCGUAAACAGCUCAUUUUGUCCCUCUUUGCUAAUCCAAUAAUAAACCAUCAGCAAGCAUUGCAAAGGUAUCUUUCAGAAGUCUUUGCACAAAGAGUUUAUUACCCCCUCAGCCCAAUAAAGAUAGAGGUGCGGUUUGACAGAUUUAAUGUGAGUGAUCUGAAGUGUAUGAUACUGACUGUCAUAUAUCUUAUCUCUGAAAAUAAGAAAAUAACAGCUAGUUAUCUGAAUUUGAAUGGUUCUAGUGUGAAGUUAAAGCUGCACUUUCAUGCCGAACUUACCUUUCCACAAUCAAUUCAUCUUCUCUCCCACUCUCAGGAUCUGUUCUUCUUUUCUUAUUGUCUGCUCGAGGGGCUACUUUGGUUUUAUGUAUUUUUCCUAUGCUUGACCCGCUCUGACCCACUUCCUGUGGGUCAGAGACAUUUUCCCACAAUACCCUUUCCUCCGUGCUCUCGCGAUGCCUGCUUUCACUAUUCCAGAACGUCCUGUCAUUUAGUAGCCAUCGAAACUAACAAAUUUCAUCCUAACAGAAUGAGAAUAGUUUGUUCAUUCAUGUUAGGAGAACAUUCGUUACUUUUAGUUCAGUUUGAAAUUUCAUUAGAAUGAAAGAAAUUACGAUCCGUGCUGCGGCUGCAUCUGGCUAAUUCCCACAGUAUCAGGGAGCUAUCUACCAAACGGCUGAAAGACCUGAAUUGCUCUUUCAGCCAACUUUACUAAUACUAAGUAAAAAUUACUUAGUAUUAGUAAUUAAUUUGCCCCUACUCGCUAUGCAGCAAGUAGGGGCAUGUCUACUAAACAAUGAGUGGCAGGUGGGGGCCCUAAAAGGCAAUGGGGGGAGGACCUCUUUUUCUCCUCCCUUGCCCCCACCCAUGAGUGGUGGGUGGGUGCCCUAAAUGACAAUGGGGGGGAGGACCUUUUGUUCUCCCCUCUGGCCCCCACCCAUGAGCGGCGGGUUGGGGCACUAAAUUUCAAUGAGGGGGGACCUGAGAGAGAUUGACAAUCUUGAGAGGAGUCUGCUGCUCACUGAGCAGAGUUUAGUGGGGACAAGUAGUGGAGUGGGAUUAGAUGAGACAGUUGGUGAACAGGCACAUCACUGGGUAACGGGGGGGGGGAGGGAAAAGGAAAGGUUUAGCUAGUCCUGAUCUUGUGCAGCCUAACAGAUUUCCCCGUUUGAGUGAAGAUGUUGAGAGCAUCAGCUCAGGAGUAGCUGUACUGCAGGAAGCUGUUCCUUCUAACAAUCAUGGGUACAGCCCCUCUAGUACGGGUAGGGAUGAGAGUGCAAGGAAGGCUAGACAGGUUGUGGUGGUAGGGGACUCUAUUAUUAACCCCUUAAGGGCGGCGGGCGAUCGUGGUGGGAGGACUCAUCUGGCAUCCCAGGGAGUCCCCCUGCCACCAGUCUGGCCCUCCUGUGCCAUGUGAAAGCGAGAUCGCCAAAACUGUCGUUCAUAUGGGUUUUUGGCAUUUUUCACACACAAACAAAUAUUAACGCUAACUUUGACUAGUGUUUGUGACCAAGUGGCUACUAAAAAAGACUUGACAAGACUGGACAUACCCCCAUUUGCAAUACCUUGAGUUGUCUACUAUUGCAAAUGGUAUGCCAUCAUGGGGGUAAUUCUCAUUCAUGGGCUACCAUACAGUCUCAAAGGCAACGUAACCAAUCUGGCGAAUUUCAAUGUGAAAAAAACUGAAAAAUUUAACAUGCUAUAUUUGACCCUGUAACUUUCCAAAACACCAUAAAACCUGUACAUAGGGGGUACUGUUUUACACGUGAAACAUUGCUGAAUAGAAAUGUGUAUUUUAAAAGCAAGCAGUAUUAUGACAUUCACAGUUAAAAUGUCACGUAGAACUAAACAAAUUUUAAAAAAUUCUUAUUUUCUUUUUUUAUAUUUAUUCAUAUUAAAUUAUGUUUCAUAGCUAAAUAUUUGAUGUUAAAUGAAAGCCCUGUUUUCCCUGAAUAAAAUGAAAUAUAAUAAGUGUGGGUGCAUUUAAUAUGAAAGGUGAAUUACGGUUGGACAGACAUAUAGCGCAAAUGCCAGGUUUUCUUUACGUUUUGUUUUCAUCACAACAUGUACAUUUGGCUCAGUCCUUAAGGGGUUAAGAAAGUAGAUAGGGUAAUCUGCCACUCUGAUCAUCUCAACCGUACAGCUUGCUGUCUCCCGGGUGCUCGGGUCCGACUUGUUGCUGACAGAGUUGAGGGAUUAUUGAGAGGAGCUGCGGAUGACCCAGCUGUCAUGGUCCAUAUUGGUACCAAUGACAGUCAGAGUAAAAUGGAAGGUCCAAAAGAAUGAGUUCAUGGAACUAGGAAUUAAACUUAAGAAAAGGACCUCCAAGGUAAUAUUUUCAGAAAUAUUACCUGUGCCGCGCACUACAGCAGAAAGGUAGCGGGACUUUGGAGAGAUCAAUGCGUGGAUGAAGUCUUGGUGCAGGAAAGAGGGUUUUGAAUUUUUAAAGCAAUGGGCCGAUUUUGCACUUAGGUACAACUUGUACAGCCAUGAUGGAUUGCACCUAUAUGGAGGAGGGUCUGCUGUGAUGUGGGAUUGGAUGGCUAGAAGGUUGGAGGAGAUUUUAAACUAGUAGUAGGGUGGGAGGGUCAUAGCAAUCUAGAAAAUGGAGAUAGGAUAGAAAGGAGACUGGCUUUAACUAAGUAUAAGGAGAGUGGAGAUGGGGGGAAAGGUAAGCUCAGAACAAAGGAGAUAUGUAAUAUUGAAAAAAAUUUACAAAAAGUGGGGGAACUAGAGGCAAUAGCAUACACUAAGCAACAUAAUAUAAUAGGCAUAACAGAAACAUGGUUGGAUGAGACACAUGACUGGGCAGUUAACUUAAAUGGGUACACAUUAUUUAGAAAGGAUAGGCAAAACAAGAGUGGUGAGGUAUGUUUGUAUGUCAACCAUGAGUUAAAGUCAAAUCUUAGGCAUGUGGAGUGUGACGGGGAAAAUGUGGGUAGAUAUCAGCUUGGGGCAAACAAAAAAUCAAUUAUUGGUUGGGAUAUGUUAUAAACCACCUAAUGUAAAUAUUAAAUAGGAAGAACAGCUGCUAGAGCAAAUUGGGAAAGCUGCAAAUCUGGGUAACCAGUUAAUUAUUGGAGAUUUUAUUUACCCGGGCAUAAAUUGGGAUAGAGUGACUAGUACUUCCGCAAGGGGAAUCAAGUUUUUGAACAUGUUAAAUGAUACCUUUAUGCCACAACUGGUACAAGCACCAACUAGAAAGGAUGCUUGUCUGGAUCUCGUUAUAACAAACAAUGUUGAUCUUUUGACCAUCAUUCAAGUAGGGGAGCAUUUGGGAAAUAGCGAUCACAAUAUGGUAAUUUUGUUAAAUAAACUCAAAAAAUCAAAAGCAUGUGGGGUAUACUAAAACGUAUAAUUAUUAGAAAACCCAAUUUCAAUAAUAUUAGGGCAGCUCAACAACAUAUCAACUGGCAUAAACUUCUUAGUGAAAAAAACACUGAGGAUAAAUGGAUGUUCUUCAAACAAAUAUUAGAAAGGUACAUUUCUCAGGAUGUACUAUUAAAUAUAAAAUAAAUAUAAAAGAAACACAUUGAAACCAAUGUGGCUUAGUAGAGAAGUAAAACAAGAGAUUAAAAAUAAGAAAAGGGCAUUUAAAUCGGACAAAUCAGAUGCAUCCUAUAUAAGAUAUAAGAAAGCCAAUAAUGCUUGCAAAAAGGCAAUAAAAGUGGCUAAACUAGAAAAUGAGAAAUGGAUAGCCAAAUAAUGCAAAACCAACCCCCAAUUUUUUUUCAAAUAAAUCAAUUCUUAAAAAAACAAAAAAUUAAAGUGUAGGUACACUUGAGACAGAGAUGGGUCUGUUAGUUAAUGAAGACCAGGAAAAGGCAGAAAUUUUAAAAGACUAUUUUUAAUGAGGAUCCCAUGGCAAGAGAUAUGCAAAUGAUUGCUGCAAAAACUUGUGAUUGGAUGAUUCGAGACAAGGUGCUACAGCAGUUAAAGAAAAUUAAUGUAAAUAAAGUUCCAAGGCCUGACGGUAUUCACCCACGAGUACUUAAGGAGCUAAGUGAAAAUAAGUGACCCUCUGUAUUUAAUCUUUCAAGAUUCUUUUGUUUCAGGUAUUGUACCAAAGGAUUGGAGGAAGGCAGAUGUCGUUGCUGUGUUUAAAAAAGGGUUCAAAAUCCUUGCCUGGAAAUUAUAGACCUGCUUACCUUCUGUGACUGGGAAAAUAUUUGAAGGGCUAUUAAGGGAUAAUCAGGAAUUCAUUGGGAAGAACUUUGUUAUUAGCAAUAAUCAGCAUGGUUUUAUGAAACAUAGGUCAUGCCAAACUAACCUAAUUGCAUUCUACAAAGAAGUAAGUAGAAGUAUAGAUCAGGGUGUUUUCAGUGGAUGUGAUCUACUUGGAUUUUGCCAGGGCAUUUGAUACGGUUCCUUACAAUAGAUUAGUCUUCAAACUAAAAGAAAUUGGUCUAGAUGAAUAUUCUUGUUCUUGGGUAGAACAUUGGCUUAAGGAUAUAGUACAACACGUUUUCAUUAAUGGUACAUUUUCAAGCUGGACAAAAGUGGUGUCCCUCAGGGUUCUGUUUUAGGACCACUUCUAUUUAACAUAUUUAUAAAUGAUCUUGAAAUGUGCAUUGAAAGCCAUGUUUUAGUGUUUGCAGAUGACACAGAACUUUGUAAAGUUAUAAAAUGUGAGCAGGAUAUAUCUUUGCUGCAGAGGUAUUUAGAUAGAUUGGGGGACUGAGCACUAAAAUGGCAGAUUAAAUUUAAUGUAGAGAAAUGCAAAGUUAUGCACCUCGGGUUCAAGAAUGCGCAAGCAAUUUACACCCUAAAUGGUAGUGAAUUAGGGACAACCACACACAAGAAGGAUUUGGGAAUCAUUAUAGACAACAAAUUAGGCAGCAAUAUGCAAUGUCAAUCUGCAGUUACUAAUGUCAAUAAGGUCUAGGGAUGAAAAUAUAAUUUUGCCUCUUUAUAAAUUGCUGGUAAGACCACACCUUGAAUAUUCCGUGCAAUUGUGGUCACUUGUUCUAAAGAAGGAUAUCAUGGCACUAGAAAAACUGCAGAGACGAGCUACAAAAUUGAUUAAAGGAAUGGAUAACUUUAGUUAGUUUGGAAAAACAGCGCCUCAGAGGGGAUAUGAUAACAUUAUACAAAUAUAUUCAGGGCCAGUACAAACCAUUAUCUGGAAAUCUAUUCAUAAACAGGGCUAUACGUAGGACAUGAGGUCAUGUAUUUAGACUGGAAGAAAAGAGAUUUAAUCUAAGGCAAAGGAAAGGUUGUUUUUUUUUUUUUUACAGUAAGAACUAUAAGGAUAUGGAAUUCUCUACUUAAAGAUGUGGUUUUAUCAGAGUCUAUACAGAUGUUUAAACAGCAAUUGGAUAAAUACUUCCAAAAACAUAACAUACAGGGAUACAAUUCCGAUUUUGGGGUUUAAGAAUGAAAUUUUUCCUAGUUUGUUGCAAAAUUUGAAGAGCUUCAGACAGGGUUUUUGCCUUCUUUUGGAUCAACAGCAAAAAACAUACGUGAGGAAGGCUGAACUUGAUGGACACAAGUCUCUUUUCAGCUAUGUAACUAUUGUCCUCCCACCCCCGCCCAUGGGUGGGGGCCGGGGGUGGACAAGAGGACCCCUCCUUAUUGUCAUUAGGGCCCCCAGACACCACUCAUGGGUGGGGGCCAAAGGGGACCCUCUGUCCCUUAUUUAGUUGAAUAGCCCCCAUGCUCAGGGCAUGGGUGGGGACUUGGGGGACAUACUACAUCCCCCCCUCUGCUAGUUAAUAGAUGCCCCACCAUGAGGCCAUUUAUUAGAAGUAAAAAAAUAUAUUUUUACAACUCUGAGCAGCCGCAGGCUGCUAACUGUUUAGUGGGCAUACCCCUACUCGCGGCAUAGCGAGCAGGGACAUGCACGCCCAUAGCUCCUCCUUGUAAUAAACUAAAGGAACAAACAAACACCAACAUUUGGUGUUUGUUUGUUCGUCUGACAUUUCUAUUUAUUUGUCUUCCUGACGAAUGAAUGAAUAGACGAAAUUCCUGUCCGAAUUUCGGACAAUAGCAAAUACCCAAGUGUUUAACUGGGCAUGCGCAGGAAUUUCAUAGCGCCAUCUAGUGUAGGCAUAAGAUGUGUCCCACAAGGCCUUCAUCUGCUCACACAAAGAUGGCGGCGCCCAGGACCUAGGUCCGUGCAUUAAAUAAAGAUGAAAAAAUAGGUAAUAUGUGGGGAUUAGAGUUAUUUGGGGGUGACUAGGAAGGAAAUUAGAUGUAGUGAAGUUGGGAGGCUGGGUUAAAAAACCCAGAUGUAGCCAUGCCAGUGCUGCUUUAAACAUGAUUAUUAGACCAUAUUCCAUACACGAGAAUGAGAUGGUCCUGAUUAGAUAUACUACUUCCUAGUGUUGGCAACGUUCAUGGCAGAUGAUGUGAGGUAUUCGGAUUAGCAUAAAAAUUCUAUUUUUAAUGGAUCAUUUUUAAAUCUGUUUUAGGUGCAUCACCCCUACAAAUCAGUAAAAACACAGAAAAAAGUUAAUUCUACACUGAAGUACCCCUUUAAUUUAAUGUCUCUGUUUUUUUUUGUUUUUUUUCCUGUUUCUAUAAUAUUUGAAUUUGCCUUUUUGAAAUGGCCACAAUAGGCACAAAGACCACUUAUUCUCAUUGAAAUUGUCAGCAUUCACUCUAACUUUCCCCCUUAGUGCUGCAAUGUAAAACAUAACAGUAUCAGAGAAUGUUUACAUUGCAAUACUAAGAAUAGCUCUAGAGGCUGUGCUGAAGGUCUUCAUACAGUGAAGCGAUGCUGGACAUCCUCAUGCUCUGCAUAAAUGCAUCCAUUGUCAAUGAAAACCCCAUGGGAAAGCAUUAAAGGGACACUGUAGGCAACCAGACCACUUCAGCUCAUUGAAGUGGUCUGGGUGCUGUGUCCCUUUUGCACCUAGUGCUGCAAUGUUAAACAUUGCAGUUCCAGAGAACUGCAAUGUUUACAUUGCAGAUCUAAGUCUGCCCUCUGUGGCUGUCUAUCAGACAGCCACCAGAGGGCUUCCGGAAUCAUAGUGGACUUUUUGUCUGUUAUCUGACGUUGGAUGUCCUCACGCUCUGUAUGAGGACCUUCAGCAUCAGAUUUUUUUUCCCCAUAGGAAAGCAUUGAUUUAAUGCUUUCCUAUGGGGCGGUCUAAUGCGUGCGCGCAUAAUUUGCCGCACAUGCGCAUUAGUCCCUGCUCGUUGCAGAAUGAAGGAGGGGCGGAGCUUCGACCCAGCACAGAGGGACAUCAGCACUGGGAUCAGGUAAGUAAAAUAAGGUGUUUUUUUUUUAACCCUUUAUUUACUGGGUAGAAGGGGGCGCAAGGGAAGGGGCAUGCACAGGGUUCGUGUUUUGUGUUCCUGGCACUGCAGUAUCCCUUUAAGGCAAUACUUUCCUAUGUGGAAGGCCUAAUGCUUGUGCGUUGCUCACCGUACAUGCACAUUAGAUCCCUUCCCCCACAUCAGCUGACAUUAGUGUCCCUUUAAGUACGAUUUAGCAAAGCUUUUCUUUUAGUAAAUCCAGUUGGUAUCUCUACAGCUGGCAAGUUGAUAUUUUUUUCAGUGGUAUGACUGGCGUGUAUAAUUAGCUGUCAUUUUCUGAAAGAGAAAUAUAUUUAUAUGCCCUUGGUUUGUUUUACCAUAAAUGAGAUUUUCACAAUAUGGCAUAGUGAAGAUGUCUGCUUUGCUGUGAGUAUCAUUAGGAACCCAAAUCACAUUCUAGGUACAAUGCAGAACGAGAAAAACAACUUAAACACAAAGUCUGAAAUCUUGUUUGAUUUGUGUUUCUACAGCCAUUGCUAAGGGACAGGUGUUGGCAUGAAUGCUUAACAGCUGAGAGUUUAUUUUAAAUCGGAAGCGGACUGCAUAUUGUGUAUGUGCUGGGGAAACCAACAAGAGAUAAGCAAAUAAAUAACUUGAGUGACUUUGUUGUUAAACAUCACCUCCCUCUUUAACAAUGCUCUUUAGGAAUUCUCUUUGGAAGCAUUUGUAUUAAAGGACCACUAUAGUGCCAGGAAAACAAACUCAUUUUCCUGGCACUAUAGGAUCUUUCGGUCCCCCCACCCUCAGGAUCCCCCUCCCACCGGGCUAUAGGGGGAGGAAGGGGUUAAUCACUUACCUCUCUCUAGCGCCGGGCUCCCUCGGCGCCUGGGAUCUCUCCUCCCUCUUUUGACGUCAGCGCUGAAUGUGCAUGGGCUGCAAGAGCUGCGCGCGCAUUCAAUCAGUCUAUAGGAAAGCAUUUCUCAAAGCUUUCCUAUGGACGUCAGCAUCUUCUUGCCGUGAUUUUCACAGUGAGAAGCGCGGAAGCGCCUCUAGCGGCUGUCAAUGAGACAGCCACAGGAGGCUGGAUUAACCCUAUUGUAAACAUAGCAGUUUCUAUGAAACUAUGUUUACAGCUGCAGGGCUAACCCUAGAUGAACCAGGCACCCAGACCACUUCAUUGAGCUGAAGUGGUCUGGGUGCCUAUAGUGGUCCUUUAAUAUCACUCUUUUUCUUAAUCCAAUUAAUAAAUUAAUUUAGAUGUGUUCAGAAUGUAAAUGACAGGGUGUGCAUUGUGUGUAGUGUGCUGUCUACAAUCACAAUUCUUAUAUGAGGCAGACAGUAAAAUAUUAGGGUCAGAAGAUUUCGGCCUCAAGCCUUCAUCAUGUAUACAGAAUAAAGAACAAGCAAAACAUAUAUACAUGUGGUAAAAUUAUAUUCCCACCCAAACAUCCUAUGACAUCAGAGGAAGAGAAAACAAUGUAACACAUCUGAUGAGAGGCCUCCAGGUGUAUUAGAUUGUUAUGGAAACCAGAAAACCAUGUGAUAACAUAAGGUGUGAAACAAGCAAUAAGGUCAUAAACUCAAAGCAUCUUCCAUCAAUACAGGUAAAAGAGGAAGUGAAGUGUGUUAAAGAAAUGUGCAUAUGGCUGUGAAUACAAAAACUAAGAUUGGGUUGCCAUGGAACUACUAGGAGUUCCCUAUACUAGCUUGAGUGUGGGGUGCUUAAAUGUAUAGUAGAGGCUAAAAUUGUCAAUCCAUGUACUAGGGGUAAUGCAUCCAACCUAUAUGAUAUUAUAAAAACAAUGCCUGAUCCAGAAUGUAGACUAUUGCACGAACUGGACAAAGAGGGCUCAUUGUCAGGGUUGAGGGCCACCAAUCGCUAGUGCGGGACCCACCAAUAAUAAAAGUUUUACUAAUUUCACCACACAGUAAUGCCUUUGGAUUUGGUAUAUUUUAAAUAUUCUAAAGGUCCUGGGUGCAAAACUACAGAUGGAAUUGAAUAUUUUAAAUACGUAAAAUUUAAUUGUGACAUUAUGCUAGCAGAAUUUAUAGAUUUUAUAACACAUUUUUUAAAAAUAUUUUUUAUUUUUCCAGUUCAUAUAAAUUUUACAAGCAUGUCUGAGGUGCCCCGAAAGCAGUCCUCAGGCGUUUUCCUCGCUGAACAUGCGGGACAUAUGAAACGAGAUGGUCACAAUUUUAUAGUAUAGGUAGGCUUAGUUAAUUAGGUCAUUCUUUGAACAAUGCUGUCUAGUCUAGUAUCUGUCGAUUGGGACAUAAGCUGUAUACGUUUAGUUUUAUAGCUUGCACACCUAGCUAAGCAUGGAUAAGGUUGCGCUAUCACGUUUAUGCUUUACAUGUGAGUGACAAUAUGAGUAAAUCUAAUGGUACAGGCUUAAACAGUAAGGAUUAAUAUAUGCUGAGGUAUGCUUAGCAUUAUAUCAAGUGAGGCCAUAAACUGCUCAACAUGGUGCUCACGGUUGUUCACCCUACACCUGAUGCUUGGAGGGUGUUACUGGCGUGAUGGCUCGCGUGCAGAUUUCCCCCUGCGUCCCCCUGCCAGGCCCUUCUCUUGGUGAGCCCCCAUGGGCCGGAUGGUGUAGUGGGGUCUUGGAAUCCCUCUGCGUGGCCUGGUCUCUUGGCUAGCGUGGUGUGCUUGGGGUCCUACUGGGAGCUUAGAGGGGUUACCCUUUGGGUGGGUCGGUACCUGAGGGUACCGCGGCAGUCCGCAUAGCUGGGUGUGUGGCGUCUGUGUGGAGGUUUCCGUCGGAUCACCCGCACGCUCCUCCCCGUGAGUCGGGCUGUUCCAUGGCCCCAUCCAGGUGUUGCUGUCAGCUUUGCUGGCUCUGGUAGGAUCCUUGCAGACUCCCCACAUGUAUCUUUGUGGAGGGCGAGUUUGUCCCAAAAAGCCUCCAGCAGGCGGUCUAUCCUCUCCGCUAGCAGGGUCAGUGUGGUGCUGUCUGCAGGGCCGCACGUGGCGCCCACCAUGUUUUUCCCCGCUGGAGCAGCUGUGCAGGUAGGGCCAGGUCGGCUCCCUGGCAUUGGGUCGUCGCUUGUAGUUGCCGGCAUAACACCCACCGGCAUGGGGGGGCGGGUGGGGAGGUAGGUUUUUCCAGGGGAGACCGCUGUGGUGAAGGGAUCGGCCACCUCCCUCGAGCAGCUUGAUCAGGCCCUCCAUAUGCCUCUGGUCGAUCCCCUGUUAGAGACUAUCGCUUGCUGUCGGCUCGUGUGGUGCUCGCUACUGCUUCGGAAGACCCUUUAGGCUGGGGCUGUUGAGCAGGCAAGUUUGAGGGCUCAUUUCAGCCACUUGUGGGUCUUUGCCUCUGAGCCCAUGUAUUAUGCGACCGCUCGGCAUGGCUGCCAGGCUCUGCCCCAGUAACACAUAUUUUUAAAGAUAUAGCAAAGACAAAUACCUGCAUGCCAUCACUUAGUUGACAGUAGAGCAGGAGAACGCUCCUAGAGGUGGUUCUACUGCUCUCCAUUACAGAAGUAUUUUCUGUGACAAUUUCCUUAGUGAAUACAUGUCAGAUUGAACUAAUAAAGGAAUGGAGUGAGAGAUGUAGCUUCAAUUUACAUCACUUAAGCAAUUACAUGGGAAAGCGUUUCUAUCGUUAACAAAUGUGUAGAAUAGAUUAUGAAACAUUACUCUGUCUUUUUGAACCUGGCAUUGAGAUUGCACAUACAGCUACUAUAUCUUACAUAGUUAAUUACAUAGGCUGAAAGGAGACUUGUGUCCAUCAAGUUCAGCUUUAUUAACAUUUGUUUUUGCUGUUGAUCCAAAAGAAGUCAAAAAAACAAAACAAAAAAAAAACAGUUUUAAGCACUUGCAAUUUUGCAACAAACUAGGAAAAACAUUCCCUUAUUUAUCCUUGGAACAAGAAGCUGUUGCCCUACAGUUGAAAAUUGGUAUCACUUGUCAUGGUUGAAUAUAUUUAACACCUGUUAUAUGUAAAAUGUAUAUAUGAGUGUGUGUGUAUAUACAUAUAUAUAUAUUGUGACGAGACCAAUCUCGCCACAUUGCAUUGGAGAAGCCUGGUUGCUCGCCUGCUGCCUUUGGACUAUGGCCCCCUUUUAAAAGACUUUAUUUUUGCCUGCAGAAAAGCUGUAUUUGUGCUUUUCUGCCUGGGUUUCAGUAGAUUUGUUUGAAUGUGUUAUACCCCAGAUGGGAAUCCCAUGGAGCCCAUUCGUAUGAAACUGACUGUAAAGACUUUGGCUCCAUGCGAUUAAACUGUAUUUGUGUGGUCCGAGCGCCAUUCACUUAAUAAUGUGCGCUCAGACCUGAGCUAUCUGGGGAUAUGUGAAAUGUCUGUGUGUUAUGUGUAAAAUGUGACUUUAUGUAUUUUAAAGUGUUUUGUGUCUUUUUGCAACCAUGUGCUUAAUGGAGUCUUGUGUCUGUCCUGGGAGAUAAUUGAAUUACUUAUCUCCAGGAUAGAAGACUCUGAAACUGGUUUGGCCAGAAAGCCAUGCUUCAUUUAGUCACAAAGGACUUUUUACUAACUUUUGAACCCCUUGUCUGAUUUGUGCCAUUUUUGAAUAUGUUGUUCCCCUGAAUGGAUUGAUUGAGAAUAUGUAAUUUUAUGUGAAUGUGAUGUAUGGUUUUGGAGUUAUGAAAGUUGGGUAGAAAGUAUGUUUUAACUGUUUGCAUAAUUGAGUUUCCUCUCAGGAUAAGGGGAGGGAAUAUGUGGGAUGUAACUGUGAUAUGAUUGGUUGUUUUAUCCCUCCCUGUGGGUGGUCCUGUAUUUGAAACACUGUAAUAAAAACCAGGCUGGGUGUGCCAGCACCUCAGACCACUGCUUGACCCUCAACACGGAGCCUUGUCUCGUUCUUGGGGGAUUCACUGUAUGCUGUUAGAGACUGAUUGCCAGGAGUGUAAGCUGAUUGUCUGCUUUUCCUGUUCGUCUGCUAGCAGCUAUUUGGGAGGUUCCAGUUCGGGAGUUGGAGUGCUAUUUUGUAUCCAGUUCGGGAGUUUGGUGUUCUGCAGUAGCUGUGCCUGUAUCUCUGGAAAGGGGGCCAAUCGCCUAAACGGUUUUUACCCCUUGUGUGCAAAACGGUCCGUUACAAUUGGUGGCAGCGGCGGGAUCGUUCCUACAACCAGAAGGACAGCUACAGGAGACACCAUUUCUUUGGAUUUUACAAUUUGAGGGCAACGCAUGUCCCAGUACAGCGACCCUGACAGCACCAGCAUGGAACCAGCAGUGGAGUAUGACGAGGGUGCCAUGGAUGACCGAGAUGCAGUCCGUAAAGGCAUCUGGUACCAGGCACUGGGUAUUGUGGAGUACCAGCGGGGCAAGAGACUCCCCAAGGAAGACCUGCGGUUGCAGAAGCGAGUAGCCCUGCGGAUGCCCUUCCUGGGAGAACAGCCCCGGGAUGAAUGGGUGAAGGAAUUGGAGCACCGGGUAUGGCAGGAGAUUUGGCUGGAAGAUGCCUACCAGGCGCUCUGGUGGUAUGGGGCACAGUACCUACCCUGGACAGCUGAGCAUGACAAGCCAGAGGGAGAGGAGUUUGAUGGUCCUGGCUUGUUAUGGGAGUCAUUUUCAGAGCUCGAAUUUGGGAGCCCUACACAAGCCCGGUUCAGUGAUCUCUUGGAGUGGGGGGAGAGCAGGUAUGACUGGGACGACACUCACGAAAUUGAGCAAGACCUGGUCCACCUGGUAACCCGGGAGAUGGAGCUAGAACAGGGCUACCAGCAGCUGUUCCAAUACAGUGAGAAGGCGCAGCGGGAGAGCAGCAUGACAGACCCAGAGCCAGACCCAUUCAGAGGGGACGAGAUGGUACAGUUUUACUGGGAAGAACCCCAGGUGGCCGAUAGAGAUGGGACCGAGGUCUCUCCACCGGUCCUGCAGGGAAUUGGGAGCCCAGUCUCCAUUCCCCAGCGGCCGCGUGAUUUAUUGGGAAUUGGGAGCCCAGUCUCCAUUCCCCAGCGGCAGUGUAAAGUGCAGGGAGAGGAGAGCAGUAUCCUCCCUCCCCAGCUGCAGGCUGAGUUACAGGGGGCAGAGGUAGUUGUUCCUGCCCCCCAGCAGCAGAGUGAUAUGCCGGGAAGGCAGCGUAAAGUGCAGGGAGAGGAGAGCAGUAUCCUCCCUCCCCAGCGGCAGGCUGAGUUACAGGGGGCAGAGGUAGUUGUUCCUGCCCUCCAGCAGCCAAGUGAUAUGCCGGGAAGGCAGUGUGAAGUGCAGGGAGAGGAGAGCAGUGUCCUCCCUCCCCAGCGGCAGGCUGAGUUACAGGGGGCAGAGGUAGUUGUUCCUGCCCCCAGCAGCCAAGUGAUAUGCCGGGAAGGCAGUGUGAAGUCCAGGGAGAGGAGAGCAGUGUCCUCCCUCCCCAGCGGCAGCGUGAUUUUUUGGGAAUCGGGAGCCCAGUCUCCAUUCCCCAGCGGCAGUAUGAUGCUUUGGGAAUUGGGAGCCCAGUCUCCAUUCCCCAGCGGCAGCACAGAUCAUUGGGAAUUGGGAGCCCCGUCUCCAUUCCCCAGCGGCAGAGUGUCCUACCGGGAAUAGAGAGCCCAGUCUCCUUUCCCAGCAGCAGGACUCUGUAUUGGGAGCAGAGACAGUCGGUCUCCCUCCCCCGCAGCUGGAAGUAUGUAUGGGAGAGGAGCUUGUUACCCCCUCUCCCCAGCGGCAGCUUAAUGUACCAGGGGGAGACAGUAAGCCCCAAAACCGUGCAGAUGGGACCGUAGUCUCUACACUGCCAGCACAGGGGGUAGGGACGGUCGGUCCUGCCCCCCAGCGACAGGGCUGUUUGGCCAAAGGGGAGACAGUCGGUCUCCCCCUCCAGCAGCAGAGAUGGGUAACCAAAGGGGAGACGGUCGGUCUCCAGCAGCAGGACUGUGCAUCUAAAGGCGAGACAGUCAGUCUCCAGCAGCAGCAGCAGAGCGGUGUAUUUAAAGGGGAGACAGUCGGUCUCCCCCUCCAACAACCAGGCUUCCACCAGGCUACCCUCCCAGUGGCGCUGGCAACAGGGCAGAGUGCCGCUGGUCUCUGCCCACGCAGCAACCCACCAAGUCAGCGUACCCGUACCCAGCACAGCCGUGGUGAGGCACCUGGACAUGGACAAGCUUCUUCUCUACCCAGGUGUAGUAACCAUUUAUUGUGGGUGGGCUGUGCUGUUGAUUAUUUGUUGUGGGUGGGCUGCUGGACUAACAAGGGCACUGACCGGCAGGAGGUCAGAUACCCUGUUAGUCUGUUUGGAAAAGGGGAGAGAUGUGACGAGACCAAUCUCGCCACAUUGCAUUGGAGAAGCCUGGUUGCUCGCCUGCUGCCUUUGGACUAUGGCCCCCUUUUUAAAGACUUUAUUUUUGCCUGCAGAAAAGCUGUAUUCGUGCUUUUCUGCCUGGGGUUCAGUAGAUUUGUUUGAAUGUGUUAUACCCCAGAUAGGAAUCCCAUGGAGCCCAUUUGUAUGAAACUGACUGUAAAGACUUUGGCUCCAUGGCGAUUAAACUGUAUUCGUGUGGUCUGAGCGCCAUUCGCUUAAUAAUGUGCGCUCGGACCUGAGCUAUCUGGGGAUAUGUUACAUGUCUGUGUUUUAUGUAAUAAAAGGUGACUUUAUGUAUUUUAAAGUGUUUUGUGUCUUUUUGCAACCAUGUGCUUAAUGGAGUCUUGUGUCUGUCCUGGGAGAUAAUUGAAUUACUUAUCUCCAGGAUAGAAGACUCUGAAACUGGUUUGGGCCAGAAAGCCAUGCUUCAUUUAGUCACAAAGGACUUUUUACUAACUUUUGAACCCCUUGUCUGAUUUGUGCCAUUUUUGAAUAUGUUGUUCCCCUGAAUGGAUUGAUUGUGCAUAUGUAAUUUUAUGUGAAUGUGAUGUAUGGUUUUAGAGUUAUGAAAGUUGGGUAGAAAGUAUGUUUUAACUGUAUGUAUAAUUGAGUUUCCUCUCAGGAUAAGGGGAGGGAAUAUGUGGGAUGUAACUGUGAUAUGAUUGGUUGUUUUAUCCCUCCCUGUGGGUGGUCCUGUAUUUGAAACACUGUAAUAAAACCAGGCUGGGUGUGCCAGCACCUCAGACCACUGCUUGACCCUCAACACGGAGCCUUGUCUCGUUCUUGGGGGGAUUCACUGUAUGCUGUUAGAGACUGAUUGCCAGGAGUGUAAGCUGAUUGUCUGCUUUUCCUGUUCGUCUGCUAGCAGCUAUUUGGGAGGUUCCAGUUCGGGAGUUGGAGUGCUAUUUUGUAUCCAGUUCGUGAGUUUUGGUGUUCUGCAGUAGCUGUGCCUGGAUCUCUGGAAAGGGGGCCGAUCGCCUAAACGGUUUUUACCCCUUGUGUGCAAAACGGUCCGUUACAAUGCCGUUGUCCUGUCUCUCUGGAUUUUUUCAAGUAGUUGCCUCCAAAUCCCAUUACUUCAGAUGUAUAUUUUAACUUCUACCAGCUGUAGCCAGAAUAUUACUGAGCAUNNNNNNNNNNNNNNNNNNNNNNNNNNNNNNNNNNNNNNNNNNNNNNNNNNNNNNNNNNNNNNNNNNNNNNNNNNNNNNNNNNNNNNNNNNNNNNNNNNNNCCCCGGCUCCUUGUACUUGCAGAGGGGGCCCAGCGGACUGCAAGUGUACUUACAAGCUCUUCCCUCUCUGUAACUCCCGCGAGCACGGCAUUACCAUGGGUUACCAUGGCAACGCUCUGGCGGCCGUGGGUAUCGCGGGAGUUAGAGAGAGGGAAGAGCUUGUAAGGCUGCACCUGAACUGCAAAUAUAUAUAGCGAUCAUCGCUAUAUAUAUAUAUAUAUAUAUAUAUAUAUAUAUAUAUAUAUGUGUGCAGAGAGUAAUUGUGGGCCCUGGACGGCCAAAGCAGUCCGGGCCCCCAAGUACCGCCGGGUCCGUGACAACUGUCAUGGUUGUCACCCCGUGAUGGCGUCCUUGACUGUCCCACCAGAAUCGUGACAGUUGGGAGGCAUGUAUAUGUCUUGGUAGCACAGGUAUCUCCUGCUUAUCGCUCAUAGAGAUGUGCCUUGUCUUGCAUUGUCCUCCACACAUUUAAAGGGUUACUCUAGAAACCAUGAUCAUGUCAGUGCUUUGAAGUGGUCAUGGUGCAAAGAGUCUGUGUGUGCAACGUUUUAGUAUAAAACCUAUAGAUUUCAUAUAGCUGCCAGUGUUGUAAGUCCACCUCCUGGCAGCAUCGUUACCAAGCCCAGAUUAGAGGUCUGGCCUGGUCAGUGGGCAUUCUGUGCAUAAAAUACAUCUGUCAUCAUCACACAGAGCAUGCCAGUGAAAAAAGUCUCCAUCUUGCCAAAGUGAAUCACCUGGUAUAAAAGUAUAAAACUAAAUAGUGGAUCUAAAUUUGCUUAAAAUCUUAUUGAGGUGUAAUUUAUUGUCUUAUUGUCAUAAGAGUUAUACAUUUGGUUGCAGACGGGACUGCCAUUUUUUCAUAAAAUAGAUUGUGUCAUGUUUCCCACGUGUCAUAUUUGAAGUAUUUCUUGGAGGUUGCGUAAACAGCUCAUUUUGUCCCUCUUUGCUAAUCCAAUAAUAAACCAUCAGCAAGCAUUGCAAAGGUAUCUUUCAGAAGUCUUUGCACAAAGAGUUUAUUACCCCCUCAGCCCAAUAAAGAUAGAGGUGCGGUUUGACAGAUUUAAUGUGAGUGAUCUGAAGUGUAUGAUACUGACUGUCAUAUAUCUUAUCUCUGAAAAUAAGAAAAUAACAGCUAGUUAUCUGAAUUUGAAUGGUUCUAGUGUGAAGUUAAAGCUGCACUUUCAUGCCGAACUUACCUUUCCACAAUCAAUUCAUCUUCUCUCCCACUCUCAGGAUCUGUUCUUCUUUUCUUAUUGUCUGCUCGAGGGGCUACUUUGGUUUUAUGUAUUUUUCCUAUGCUUGACCCGCUCUGACCCACUUCCUGUGGGUCAGAGACAUUUUCCCACAAUACCCUUUCCUCCGUGCUCUCGCGAUGCCUGCUUUCACUAUUCCAGAACGUCCUGUCAUUUAGUAGCCAUCGAAACUAACAAAUUUCAUCCUAACAGAAUGAGAAUAGUUUGUUCAUUCAUGUUAGGAGAACAUUCGUUACUUUUAGUUCAGUUUGAAAUUUCAUUAGAAUGAAAGAAAUUACGAUCCGUGCUGCGGCUGCAUCUGGCUAAUUCCCACAGUAUCAGGGAGCUAUCUACCAAACGGCUGAAAGACCUGAAUUGCUCUUUCAGCCAACUUUACUAAUACUAAGUAAAAAUUACUUAGUAUUAGUAAUUAAUUUGCCCCUACUCGCUAUGCAGCAAGUAGGGGCAUGUCUACUAAACAAUGAGUGGCAGGUGGGGGCCCUAAAAGGCAAUGGGGGGAGGACCUCUUUUUCUCCUCCCUUGCCCCCACCCAUGAGUGGUGGGUGGGUGCCCUAAAUGACAAUGGGGGGGAGGACCUUUUGUUCUCCCCUCUGGCCCCCACCCAUGAGCGGCGGGUUGGGGCACUAAAUUUCAAUGAGGGGGGACCUGAGAGAGAUUGACAAUCUUGAGAGGAGUCUGCUGCUCACUGAGCAGAGUUUAGUGGGGACAAGUAGUGGAGUGGGAUUAGAUGAGACAGUUGGUGAACAGGCACAUCACUGGGUAACGGGGGGGGGGAGGGAAAAGGAAAGGUUUAGCUAGUCCUGAUCUUGUGCAGCCUAACAGAUUUCCCCGUUUGAGUGAAGAUGUUGAGAGCAUCAGCUCAGGAGUAGCUGUACUGCAGGAAGCUGUUCCUUCUAACAAUCAUGGGUACAGCCCCUCUAGUACGGGUAGGGAUGAGAGUGCAAGGAAGGCUAGACAGGUUGUGGUGGUAGGGGACUCUAUUAUUAACCCCUUAAGGGCGGCGGGCGAUCGUGGUGGGAGGACUCAUCUGGCAUCCCAGGGAGUCCCCCUGCCACCAGUCUGGCCCUCCUGUGCCAUGUGAAAGCGAGAUCGCCAAAACUGUCGUUCAUAUGGGUUUUUGGCAUUUUUCACACACAAACAAAUAUUAACGCUAACUUUGACUAGUGUUUGUGACCAAGUGGCUACUAAAAAAGACUUGACAAGACUGGACAUACCCCCAUUUGCAAUACCUUGAGUUGUCUACUAUUGCAAAUGGUAUGCCAUCAUGGGGGUAAUUCUCAUUCAUGGGCUACCAUACAGUCUCAAAGGCAACGUAACCAAUCUGGCGAAUUUCAAUGUGAAAAAAACUGAAAAAUUUAACAUGCUAUAUUUGACCCUGUAACUUUCCAAAACACCAUAAAACCUGUACAUAGGGGGUACUGUUUUACACGUGAAACAUUGCUGAAUAGAAAUGUGUAUUUUAAAAGCAAGCAGUAUUAUGACAUUCACAGUUAAAAUGUCACGUAGAACUAAACAAAUUUUAAAAAAUUCUUAUUUUCUUUUUUUAUAUUUAUUCAUAUUAAAUUAUGUUUCAUAGCUAAAUAUUUGAUGUUAAAUGAAAGCCCUGUUUUCCCUGAAUAAAAUGAAAUAUAAUAAGUGUGGGUGCAUUUAAUAUGAAAGGUGAAUUACGGUUGGACAGACAUAUAGCGCAAAUGCCAGGUUUUCUUUACGUUUUGUUUUCAUCACAACAUGUACAUUUGGCUCAGUCCUUAAGGGGUUAAGAAAGUAGAUAGGGUAAUCUGCCACUCUGAUCAUCUCAACCGUACAGCUUGCUGUCUCCCGGGUGCUCGGGUCCGACUUGUUGCUGACAGAGUUGAGGGAUUAUUGAGAGGAGCUGCGGAUGACCCAGCUGUCAUGGUCCAUAUUGGUACCAAUGACAGUCAGAGUAAAAUGGAAGGUCCAAAAGAAUGAGUUCAUGGAACUAGGAAUUAAACUUAAGAAAAGGACCUCCAAGGUAAUAUUUUCAGAAAUAUUACCUGUGCCGCGCACUACAGCAGAAAGGUAGCGGGACUUUGGAGAGAUCAAUGCGUGGAUGAAGUCUUGGUGCAGGAAAGAGGGUUUUGAAUUUUUAAAGCAAUGGGCCGAUUUUGCACUUAGGUACAACUUGUACAGCCAUGAUGGAUUGCACCUAUAUGGAGGAGGGUCUGCUGUGAUGUGGGAUUGGAUGGCUAGAAGGUUGGAGGAGAUUUUAAACUAGUAGUAGGGUGGGAGGGUCAUAGCAAUCUAGAAAAUGGAGAUAGGAUAGAAAGGAGACUGGCUUUAACUAAGUAUAAGGAGAGUGGAGAUGGGGGGAAAGGUAAGCUCAGAACAAAGGAGAUAUGUAAUAUUGAAAAAAAUUUACAAAAAGUGGGGGAACUAGAGGCAAUAGCAUACACUAAGCAACAUAAUAUAAUAGGCAUAACAGAAACAUGGUUGGAUGAGACACAUGACUGGGCAGUUAACUUAAAUGGGUACACAUUAUUUAGAAAGGAUAGGCAAAACAAGAGUGGUGAGGUAUGUUUGUAUGUCAACCAUGAGUUAAAGUCAAAUCUUAGGCAUGUGGAGUGUGACGGGGAAAAUGUGGGUAGAUAUCAGCUUGGGGCAAACAAAAAAUCAAUUAUUGGUUGGGAUAUGUUAUAAACCACCUAAUGUAAAUAUUAAAUAGGAAGAACAGCUGCUAGAGCAAAUUGGGAAAGCUGCAAAUCUGGGUAACCAGUUAAUUAUUGGAGAUUUUAUUUACCCGGGCAUAAAUUGGGAUAGAGUGACUAGUACUUCCGCAAGGGGAAUCAAGUUUUUGAACAUGUUAAAUGAUACCUUUAUGUCACAACUGGUACAAGCACCAACUAGAAAGGAUGCUUGUCUGGAUCUCGUUAUAACAAACGAUGUUGAUCUUUUGACCAUCAUUCAAGUAGGGGAGCAUUUGGGAAAUAGCGAUCACAAUAUGGUAAUUUUGUUAAAUAAACUCAAAAAAUCAAAAGCAUGUGGGGUAUACUAAAAUGUAUAAUUAUUAGAAAACCCAAUUUCAAUAAUAUUAGGGCAGCUCAACAACAUAUCAACUGGCAUAAACUUCUUAGUGAAAAAAACACUGAGGAUAAAUGGAUGUUCUUCAAACAAAUAUUAGAAAGGUACAUUUCUCAGGAUGUACUAUUAAAUAUAAAAUAAAUAUAAAAGAAACACAUUGAAACCAAUAUGGCUUAGUAGAGAAGUAAAACAAGAGAUUAAAAAUAAGAAAAGGGCAUUUAAAGCAUUUAAAUCGGACAAAUCAGAUGCAUCCUAUAUAAGAUAUAAGAAAGCCAAUAAUGCUUGCAAAAAGGCAAUAAAAGUGGCUAAACUAGAAAAUUAGAAAUGGAUAGCCAAAUAAUGCAAAACCAACCCCCAAUUUUUUUUCAAAUAAAUCAAUUCUUAAAAAACAAAAAUUUAAAGUGUAGGUACACUUGAGACAGAGAUGGGUCUGUUAGUUAAUGAAGACCAGGAAAAGGCAGAAAUUUUAAAAGACUAUUUUUAAUGAGGAUCCCAUGGCAAGAGAUAUGCAAAUGAUUGCUUCAAAAACUUGUGAUUGGAUGAUUCGAGACAAGGUGCUACAGCAGUUAAAGAAAAUUAAUAUAAAUAAAGUUCCAAGGCCUGACAGUAUUCACCCACGAGUACUUAAGGAGCUAAGUGAAAAUAAGUGACCCUCUGUAUUUAAUCUUUCAAGAUUCUUUUGUUUCGGGUAUUGUACCAAAGGAUUGGAGGAAGGCAGAUGUCGUUGCUGUAUUUAAAAAAGGGUUCAAAAUCCUUGCCUGGAAAUUAUAGACCUGCUUACCUUCUGUGACUGGGAAAAUAUUUGAAGGGCUAUUAAGGGAUAAUCAGGAAUUCAUUGGGAAGAACUUUAUUAGCAAUAAUCAGCAUGGUUUUAUGAAACAUAGGUCAUGCCAAACUAACCUAAUUGCAUUCUACAAAGAAGUAAGUAGAAGUAUAGAUCAGGGUGUUUUCAGUGGAUGUGAUCUACUUGGAUUUUGCCAGGGCAUUUGAUACGGUUCCUUACAAUAGAUUAGUCUUCAAACUAAAAGAAAUUGGUCUAGAUGAAUAUUCUUGUUCUUGGGUAGAACAUUGGCUUAAGGAUAUAGUACAACACGUUUUCAUUAAUGGUACAUUUUCAAGCUGGACAAAAGUGGUGUCCCUCAGGGUUCUGUUUUAGGACCACUUCUAUUUAACAUAUUUAUAAAUGAUCUUGAAAUGUGCAUUGAAAGCCAUGUUUUAGUGUUUGCAGAUGACACAGAACUUUGUAAAGUUAUAAAAUGUGAGCAGGAUAUAUCUUUGCUGCAGAGGUAUUUAGAUAGAUUGGGGGACUGAGCACUAAAAUGGCAGAUUAAAUUUAAUGUAGAGAAAUGCAAAGUUAUGCACCUCGGGUUCAAGAAUGCGCAAGCAAUUUACACCCUAAAUGGUAGUGAAUUAGGGACAACCACACACAAGAAGGAUUUGGGAAUCAUUAUAGACAACAAAUUAGGCAGCAAUAUGCAAUGUCAAUCUGCAGUUACUAAUGUCAAUAAGGUCUAGGGAUGAAAAUAUAAUUUUGCCUCUUUAUAAAUUGCUGGUAAGACCACACCUUGAAUAUUCCGUGCAAUUGUGGUCACUUGUUCUAAAGAAGGAUAUCAUGGCACUAGAAAAACUGCAGAGACGAGCUACAAAAUUGAUUAAAGGAAUGGAUAACUUUAGUUAGUUUGGAAAAACAGCGCCUCAGAGGGGAUAUGAUAACAUUAUACAAAUAUAUUCAGGGCCAGUACAAACCAUUAUCUGGAAAUCUAUUCAUAAACAGGGCUAUACGUAGGACAUGAGGUCAUGUAUUUAGACUGGAAGAAAAGAGAUUUAAUCUAAGGCAAAGGAAAGGUUGUUUUUUUUUUUUUUACAGUAAGAACUAUAAGGAUAUGGAAUUCUCUACUUAAAGAUGUGGUUUUAUCAGAGUCUAUACAGAUGUUUAAACAGCAAUUGGAUAAAUACUUCCAAAAACAUAACAUACAGGGAUACAAUUUCUGAUUAGUGGGGUAAUAGCUGCUUGAUCCAAGGAGAUAUCCGACUUCCAUUUUGGGGUUUAAGAAUGAAAUUUUUCCUAGUUUGUUGCAAAAUUUGAAGAGCUUCAGACAGGGUUUUUGCCUUCUUUUGGAUCAACAGCAAAAAACAUAUGUGAGGAAGGCUGAACUUGAUGGACACAAGUCUCUUUUCAGCUAUGUAACUAUUGUCCUCCCACCCCCGCCCAUGGGUGGGGGCCGGGGGUGGACAAGAGGACCCCUCCUUAUUGUCAUUAGGGCCCCCAGACACCACUCAUGGGUGGGGGCCAAAGGGGACCCUCUGUCCCUUAUUUAGUUGAAUAGCCCCCAUGCUCAGGGCACGGGUGGGGACUUGGGGGACAUACUACAUCCCCCCCUCUGCUAGCUAAUAGAUGCCCCACCAUGAGGCCAUUUAUUAGAAGUAAAAAAAUAUAUUUUUACAACUCUGAGCAGCCGCAGGCUGCUAACUGUUUAGUGGGCAUACCCCUACUCGCGGCAUAGCGAGCAGGGGCAUGCACGCCGGUAGCUCCUCCUUGUAAUAAACUAAAGGAACAAACAAACACCAACAUUGUUUGUUUGUUCGUCUGACAUUUCUAUUUAUUUGUCUUCCUGACGAAUGAAUGAAUAGACGAAAUUCCUGUCCGAAUUUCGGACAAUAGCAAAUGCCCAAGUGUUUAACUGGCCAUGCGCAGGAAUUUCAUAGCGCCAUCUAGUGUAGGCAUAAGAUGUGUCCCACAAGGCCUUCAUCUGCUCACACAAAGAUGGCGGCGCCCAGGACCUAGGUCCGUGCAUUAAAUAAAGAUGAAAAAAUAGGUAAUAUGUGGGGAUUAGAGUUAUUUGGGGGUGACUAGGAAGGAAAUUAGAUGUAGUGAAGUUGGGAGGCUGGGUUAAAAAACCCAGAUGUAGCCAUGCCAGUGCUGCUUUAAACAUGAUUAUUAGACCAUAUUCCAUACACGAGAAUGAGAUGGUCCUGAUUAGAUAUACUACUUCCUAGUGUUGGCAACGUUCAUGGCAGAUGAUGUGAGGUAUUCGGAUUAGCAUAAAAAUUCUAUUUUUAAUGGAUCAUUUUUAAAUCUGUUUUAGGUGCAUCACCCCUACAAAUCAGUAAAAACACAGAAAAAAGUUAAUUCUACACUGAAGUACCCCUUUAAUUUAAUGUCUCUGUUUUUUUUUGUUUUUUUUCCUGUUUCUAUAAUAUUUGAAUUUGCCUUUUUGAAAUGGCCACAAUAGGCACAAAGACCACUUAUUCUCAUUGAAAUUGUCAGCAUUCACUCUAACUUUCCCCCUUAGUGCUGCAAUGUAAAACAUAACAGUAUCAGAGAAUGUUUACAUUGCAAUACUAAGAAUAGCUCUAGAGGCUGUGCUGAAGGUCUUCAUACAGUGAAGCGAUGCUGGACAUCCUCAUGCUCUGCAUAAAUGCAUCCAUUGUCAAUGAAAACCCCAUGGGAAAGCAUUAAAGGGACACUGUAGGCAACCAGACCACUUCAGCUCAUUGAAGUGGUCUGGGUGCUGUGUCCCUUUUGCACCUAGUGCUGCAAUGUUAAACAUUGCAGUUCCAGAGAACUGCAAUGUUUACAUUGCAGAUCUAAGUCUGCCCUCUGUGGCUGUCUAUCAGACAGCCACCAGAGGGCUUCCGGAAUCAUAGUGGACUUUUUGUCUGUUAUCUGACGUUGGAUGUCCUCACGCUCUGUAUGAGGACCUUCAGCAUCAGAUUUUUUUUCCCCAUAGGAAAGCAUUGAUUUAAUGCUUUCCUAUGGGGCGGUCUAAUGCGUGCGCGCAUAAUUUGCCGCACAUGCGCAUUAGUCCCUGCUCGUUGCAGAAUGAAGGAGGGGCGGAGCUUCGACCCAGCACAGAGGGACAUCAGCACUGGGAUCAGGUAAGUAAAAUAAGGUGUUUUUUUUUUAACCCUUUAUUUACUGGGUAGAAGGGGGCGCAAGGGAAGGGGCAUGCACAGGGUUCGUGUUUUGUGUUCCUGGCACUGCAGUAUCCCUUUAAGGCAAUACUUUCCUAUGUGGAAGGCCUAAUGCUUGUGCGUUGCUCACCGUACAUGCACAUUAGAUCCCUUCCCCCACAUCAGCUGACAUUAGUGUCCCUUUAAGUACGAUUUAGCAAAGCUUUUCUUUUAGUAAAUCCAGUUGGUAUCUCUACAGCUGGCAAGUUGAUAUUUUUUUCAGUGGUAUGACUGGCGUGUAUAAUUAGCUGUCAUUUUCUGAAAGAGAAAUAUAUUUAUAUGCCCUUGGUUUGUUUUACCAUAAAUGAGAUUUUCACAAUAUGGCAUAGUGAAGAUGUCUGCUUUGCUGUGAGUAUCAUUAGGAACCCAAAUCACAUUCUAGGUACAAUGCAGAACGAGAAAAACAACUUAAACACAAAGUCUGAAAUCUUGUUUGAUUUGUGUUUCUACAGCCAUUGCUAAGGGACAGGUGUUGGCAUGAAUGCUUAACAGCUGAGAGUUUAUUUUAAAUCGGAAGCGGACUGCAUAUUGUGUAUGUGCUGGGGAAACCAACAAGAGAUAAGCAAAUAAAUAACUUGAGUGACUUUGUUGUUAAACAUCACCUCCCUCUUUAACAAUGCUCUUUAGGAAUUCUCUUUGGAAGCAUUUGUAUUAAAGGACCACUAUAGUGCCAGGAAAACAAACUCAUUUUCCUGGCACUAUAGGAUCUUUCGGUCCCCCCACCCUCAGGAUCCCCCUCCCACCGGGCUAUAGGGGGAGGAAGGGGUUAAUCACUUACCUCUCUCUAGCGCCGGGCUCCCUCGGCGCCUGGGAUCUCUCCUCCCUCUUUUGACGUCAGCGCUGAAUGUGCAUGGGCUGCAAGAGCUGCGCGCGCAUUCAAUCAGUCUAUAGGAAAGCAUUUCUCAAAGCUUUCCUAUGGACGUCAGCAUCUUCUUGCCGUGAUUUUCACAGUGAGAAGCGCGGAAGCGCCUCUAGCGGCUGUCAAUGAGACAGCCACAGGAGGCUGGAUUAACCCUAUUGUAAACAUAGCAGUUUCUAUGAAACUAUGUUUACAGCUGCAGGGCUAACCCUAGAUGAACCAGGCACCCAGACCACUUCAUUGAGCUGAAGUGGUCUGGGUGCCUAUAGUGGUUCUUUAAUAUCACUCUUUUUCUUAAUCCAAUUAAUAAAUUAAUUUAGAUGUGUUCAGAAUGUAAAUGACAGGGUGUGCAUUGUGUGUAGUGUGCUGUCUACAAUCACAAUUCUUAUAUGAGGCAGACAGUAAAAUAUUAGGGUCAGAAGAUUUCGGCCUCAAGCCUUCAUCAUGUAUACAGAAUAAAGAACAAGCAAAACAUAUAUACAUGUGGUAAAAUUAUAUUCCUACCCAAACAUCCUAUGACAUCAGAGGAAGAGAAAACAAUGUAACACAUCUGAUGAGAGGCCUCCAGGUGUAUUAGAUUGUUAUGGAAACCAGAAAACCAUGUGAUAACAUAAGGUGUGAAACAAGCAAUAAGGUCAUAAACUCAAAGCAUCUUCCAUCAAUACAGGUAAAAGAGGAAGUGAAGUGUGUUAAAGAAAUGUGCAUAUGGCUGUGAAUACAAAAACUAAGAUUGGGUUGCCAUGGAACUACUAGGAGUUCCCUAUACUAGCUUGAGUGUGGGGUGCUUAAAUGUAUAGUAGAGGCUAAAAUUGUCAAUCCAUGUACUAGGGGUAAUGCAUCCAACCUAUAUGAUAUUAUAAAAACAAUGCCUGAUCCAGAAUGUAGACUAUUGCACGAACUGGACAAAGAGGGCUCAUUGUCAGGGUUGAGGGCCACCAAUCGCUAGUGCGGGACCCACCAAUAAUAAAAGUUUUACUAAUUUCACCACACAGUAAUGCCUUUGGAUUUGGUAUAUUUUAAAUAUUCUAAAGGUCCUGGGUGCAAAACUACAGAUGGAAUUGAAUAUUUUAAAUACGUAAAAUUUAAUUGUGACAUUAUGCUAGCAGAAUUUAUAGAUUUUAUAACACAUUUUUUAAAAAUAUUUUUUAUUUUUCCAGUUCAUAUAAAUUUUACAAGCAUGUCUGAGGUGCCCCGAAAGCAGUCCUCAGGCGUUUUCCUCGCUGAACAUGCGGGACAUAUGAAACGAGAUGGUCACAAUUUUAUAGUAUAGGUAGGCUUAGUUAAUUAGGUCAUUCUUUGAACAAUGCUGUCUAGUCUAGUAUCUGUCGAUUGGGACAUAAGCUGUAUACGUUUAGUUUUAUAGCUUGCACACCUAGCUAAGCAUGGAUAAGGUUGCGCUAUCACGUUUAUGCUUUACAUGUGAGUGACAAUAUGAGUAAAUCUAAUGGUACAGGCUUAAACAGUAAGGAUUAAUAUAUGCUGAGGUAUGCUUAGCAUUAUAUCAAGUGAGGCCAUAAACUGCUCAACAUGGUGCUCACGGUUGUUCACCCUACACCUGAUGCUUGGAGGGUGUUACUGGCGUGAUGGCUCGCGUGCAGAUUUCCCCCUGCGUCCCCCUGCCAGGCCCUUCUCUUGGUGAGCCCCCAUGGGCCGGAUGGUGUAGUGGGGUCUUGGAAUCCCUCUGCGUGGCCUGGUCUCUUGGCUAGCGUGGUGUGCUUGGGGUCCUACUGGGAGCUUAGAGGGGUUACCCUUUGGGUGGGUCGGUACCUGAGGGUACCGCGGCAGUCCGCAUAGCUGGGUGUGUGGCGUCUGUGUGGAGGUUUCCGUCGGAUCACCCGCACGCUCCUCCCCGUGAGUCGGGCUGUUCCAUGGCCCCAUCCAGGUGUUGCUGUCAGCUUUGCUGGCUCUGGUAGGAUCCUUGCAGACUCCCCACAUGUAUCUUUGUGGAGGGCGAGUUUGUCCCAAAAAGCCUCCAGCAGGCGGUCUAUCCUCUCCGCUAGCAGGGUCAGUGUGGUGCUGUCUGCAGGGCCGCACGUGGCGCCCACCAUGUUUUUCCCCGCUGGAGCAGCUGUGCAGGUAGGGCCAGGUCGGCUCCCUGGCAUUGGGUCGUCGCUUGUAGUUGCCGGCAUAACACCCACCGGCAUGGGGGGGCGGGUGGGGAGGUAGGUUUUUCCAGGGGAGACCGCUGUGGUGAAGGGAUCGGCCACCUCCCUCGAGCAGCUUGAUCAGGCCCUCCAUAUGCCUCUGGUCGAUCCCCUGUUAGAGACUAUCGCUUGCUGUCGGCUCGUGUGGUGCUCGCUACUGCUUCGGAAGACCCUUUAGGCUGGGGCUGUUGAGCAGGCAAGUUUGAGGGCUCAUUUCAGCCACUUGUGGGUCUUUGCCUCUGAGCCCAUGUAUUAUGCGACCGCUCGGCAUGGCUGCCAGGCUCUGCCCCAGUAACACAUAUUUUUAAAGAUAUAGCAAAGACAAAUACCUGCAUGCCAUCACUUAGUUGACAGUAGAGCAGGAGAACGCUCCUAGAGGUGGUUCUACUGCUCUCCAUUACAGAAGUAUUUUCUGUGAUAAUUUCCUUAGUGAAUACAUGUCAGAUUGAACUAAUAAAGGAAUGGAGUGAGAGAUGUAGCUUCAAUUUACAUCACUUAAGCAAUUACAUGGGAAAGCGUUUCUAUCGUUAACAAAUGUGUAGAAUAGAUUAUGAAACAUUACUCUGUCUUUUUGAACCUGGCAUUGAGAUUGCACAUACAGCUACUAUAUCUUACAUAGUUAAUUACAUAGGCUGAAAGGAGACUUGUGUCCAUCAAGUUCAGCUUUAUUAACAUUUGUUUUUGCUGUUGAUCCAAAAGAAGUCAAAAAAACAAAACAAAAAAAAAACAGUUUUAAGCACUUGCAAUUUUGCAACAAACUAGGAAAAACAUUCCCUUAUUUAUCCUUGGAACAAGAAGCUGUUGCCCUACAGUUGAAAAUUGGUAUCACUUGUCAUGGUUGAAUAUAUUUAACACCUGUUAUAUGUAAAAUGUAUAUAUGAGUGUGUGUGUAUAUAUAUAUAUAUAUAUAUAUAUAUAUAUAUAUAUAUAUAUAUAUAUAUAUAUAUAUAUAUAUAUAUAUAUAUAUAUAUAUAUAUAUAUAUAUUAUGUAUAUAUAUAUAUAUAUAUAUAUAUAUAUAUGUAUAUAUAUAUAGAGAGAGAGAGAGAGAGAGAGAGAGAGAUUGAUUUGUAUAUUGUAUUUUUUGUAAUAUUAUAUCCUAUUGGAACAAUGCAAUGUUUUCUGGACCCAGGACAUACUUGAAAACAAGAGAAAUCACAAUGUAUCCAACCUGGUAAAAUAUUUUAUAAAUAAAUAUUAUGUUUUUGCAAGUAUGCAACUACACUUUGUUCCAAAUUAUUAUGCAAAUUAUUUUUUCUCAUUUACCUAAAUAAUUGAUGUAAAUAACAGUCAGAAUAAUUCUCAUGUUAUCAUUAGGAGGUUUGUUCAAUACAAUUUAAAUUGUACUCUUAAUAGUUGAUAACAGUAUUUUCUGAAACAUAAAAAACGUACAAUGCACUGUUCCAAAUUAUUAUGCACAGUAAGUUUCAAAACACUUUAUAGGUUGUAAAGAACUGAAAAUUGUCAUUUGUUGUGUUUGCAGCAUAUUUACUGAAAUCAAAAGCUAUUUCAAUCAAACUUAUAACAACAUUUUAACUUUUUAAACAUUUUAACAGGUUACGUUACAUUUUAACAUAGCACCCCUUAUUUGAUAGCAGCUUCACAAGUCUUGCAUCCAUUGAACCUGAGAGUUUUUGGACGGUUUCUGCUUGAAUUUGUUUGCAAGAUGUCAGAAUAGCCUCCCAGAGCUGCUGUUUGGAUGUAAACUGCCUCCCACCCACAUAGAUCUUUUGCUUGAGGAUGCUCCAAAGGUUCUCAAUAGGAUUGAGGUUAGGGGAGGAUGGAGGACACACCAUGACUUUCUCUCCUUUUAUCCCCAUAGCAGCCAUUGAUGCAGAGGUAUUCUUUGCAGCAUGAGAUGGUGCAUGAAGAUGAUUUUAUUACUGAAAGCAUAGUUCUUCCUUCUGUACCAGGGAAGAAAGUGGUCAGUCAGAAACUACACAUACUUUGCAGAGGUCAUCUCUACACCUUCAGGGACCCUAAAGGGGCCGACCAGCUCUCUUCCCAUGAUUCCGGCCCAAAACAUGACUCCACCACCGCCUUGCUGAUGUUGCAGCCUUGUUGGAACAGGGUGGCCGUCCACCAACCAUCCACUACUACAUCCAUCUUGACCAUCUAGGGUUGAACGGCACUCAUCAGUGAAUAGGACUGUUUGAAAAUUAGUCUUUGUGUAUUUUUCUGCCCAAUGCAGCCGUUUCUGCUUGUGAGCAUUGGUUAGUGGUGGUCGACUAGAAGGUUUAUGCACAGUUACAAGACUCUGGAGGACUCUACACCUUGAUGUCUGUGGGACUUCAGAGGCACCAGCAGCUUCAAAUAUCUGUUUGCUGCUAUGUAAUGGUAUUUUAGCAGCUGCUCUCUUGAUCCGAUGCAUGGAUCUGGCAGAAAUCUUCCUCAAUGUGCCUUUAUCUGCACGAACCCGUCUGUGUUCUGAAUCGGCCACAAAUCUCUUAAUAGUGCGAUGAUCAUGCUUAAGUUUUCGUGAAAUAUCUAAUGUUUUCAAACCUCGUCCAAGGCAUUGAACUAUUUUACUCUUCUCGGCAGCAGAGAGAUCCUUUUUCUUCCCCAUAUUGCAUGAAAAUGGUGCUCUGCUUAAUAAUGUGGAACACCCUCCUUUAAUAGUUUUUCCUUAAAUUGGGCUCACCUGGCAAUCUAAUUAUCACAGGUGUCCGAGAUUGUCUUCAGUGAUCAAAAGAGCCCUGAGACACAAUGCCAUCCAUGAGUUAAACUGAAAAACAAAAUAUUUAAUCUUUGUGACACUUAAAUCUAAUUUGCAUAAUAAUUUGGAACAGGGUGUAGUUGCUGUUUAAACAUCUGUGCAGAUUCUGAUAAAACUACUUCUUCAUGCAGCGAUUUCCAAAUCCUUAAUGUUUUUACGAUAAAAAAAAACAUUUCUUUGCCUUAGAUGAAAUCUUGUCUCUUUUAGUCUAAACACAUGACCUUGUGUCCUAUGUAUAGUCCCGUUUGUGAAUAGAUUUCCAGACAAAAAAAGAUGAGAGGCAUGUAUUUGUUCUAAUUCUCUCAUGAUUUGUGUCUAUAAUCCAUCUAUGUUGUGAAGAAUCAACAAUAUAUUCCAUAGACUGUGCAACUGCUGAUUAUAUUUAAAGCAUUUUAAGAACUAUAUAUGUUGCAAUGCAAUAUAACACAUAUUUGUAAAACAUGCAGAGUGUGAAUUGUCUGGGAUUAAAAGUGAAUUUCUAAUGUUAGGCAUAAAUAGGUGAUCUGGAAGAAUUCUCCAAUAAAGCUUUCAUCACAUCUUUUUUUCUAGUGUAAAGUUUGCAAUUUGGUUUUCAAUUCAUUGCAGUUCAGAAUUCAGUCUCAUGAAUCAGCCCCACAUAUACUCCACUCCAUAAACGCUGCAUGCCUAGCCCUGCGUAUCAACACGACGAUCUAGAAACAUACUUUGCAUCUACCUUAUUAUAAGCAACCACAAACACUAUGCAAAUUGCUGGCUUGGAGUCAGCAGACUAGAUAGUAUUUAGAAGUUAAUAGUCCAUUUAAUUGAAUAAGAAUGUGUGUAGUUUUUUUUUUCUCUAUUGACAUCCGCUAGAUUUUGCAUUUCAUGUUUAUAUAUUUUGCAAAAAGCUCUUCCGUUUAUGAGUUGCUUGUAGCCAAUUAGGUAGUUCACGGACUGUUGGAUAGAACUGCAUGCCUGCAUCUAGCAUAAAGAUGGCGGGUGUUCUGUUAGAUCCGGAUAUCUACAUUUAGUUUAGUUACUAGUGUUUGGUGAUUAUGGUACAGUAUUGCCUUCCUUGUCAGAGACACCAUCAGGCCUAAUAUUGAUGGAUCUAAUUGGAACCCAGUGUAUCCCAGACCUCCUGUGCAUUUGCUCUAGUGCUAAAUGAUAACUAAUUGAAUUGGGGAAAGCAGUUUGAGGGUUGACAGAGGACUCUAAUUAGGUUUAAAGCACCCUUAUGAAGGCUUGUUACCUUUAUAAUGAGUUAUUAUAUAUGAAACGUAUAGGAGGUUGGUAUGUACUCUGGUGAAUUGGUUGCCCCAGAGAAAUUGAACCGCUUGUUGUGCAACAAGGAUGGUUCUAUUUAUGAAAUGCUUGCAAUGUUUUGUGUUCUUAUUUGUUCCGAUUGCCUAGGGCUACACAAUAACAAGGGCUUUUAUAAAUUCAGAACAGCAGAGAAGACAUAUGGACAAUAAAUAAUGCAAAGCUGUCUGUUUUUGCUGCGUUUUACUUAUACACCUGCAGUACCAAAUAAGCUUGGGAAUAAGAUUUCAGUGCAUUCUCCAGUGAAUAAAUGUUUGAUACUUGUCUGAUCCUUACUGAUAUCCUGAGCAUUGCUUUUUCAGUGAGAUAUGCUUUCUAUUUACUUGUAGAUUUGUUUAUUUUUAUGUUAAUAUGCUGGAAUGUGUAACCUUAUGGUUCCCCGUAUUGCUGGAAGCAUUUCUAAACGGAUUACAAGAUAAUAAUUCCUUUCCAAUAAAUGCAGAAUGCUGUGCUGUUCAGUUUUUCUAAUUUUUAAGAUGGAUUCUUAAAAAAUGUAGACAAAAUACACACACAUAUAGAUUAUUGGCAAAAUAACCAAAAAGUUAGUGAUUUUAUAAUACCAAGAUGGCAUUAUUAUUAUUUUAUUAUAAGCAUUUUUUUUGUUUUAGGCCAGGGUUUCUUUAAAGGGGAACUGUUACUUCUCUGGAAUUUAUACUAAAAAAAAAAAAAAUGAAAAUCGACCAUAACUUGUGUUAACAUUUUUUCAUCUGUUUUUUUUUCUUUUAAAUUUUUACUAAAGAUUUAACAAAGUACAUCGUAAUUCAUCUCAGAUAAGACAAAGCCAGAGCAAAUAUUUCAUAUGAAAGGAAGACAUUCAAACCUUCAGGGUAAUUUACUAAAGUGAGAAUUCAAAGUGAGUUCCAAGUUUAGGCCGGAUUAGCCAAACUGGAAGCCUAGCUGAUUUAUUCUCUCAAUGCUUUCUCUAAGCUGACUUCCAGGUGCAAAAAACAAAACUUGUUACAAUGACUGACAAGGAUCCAGUGGUGGAGCUACCAGGGUUGCAUCAGUCAAUAUUCCAAUCGGGUCCUGGAGUUAAGUCUGUUCAGGUGAAUGCUGGUCACGUUGGGGGACCCAUUACGGUUAUUUAGUAUAUUGUCAAUUGGCAAUAUACUAAAUAAUGCUUACGUUACCGACAGUAGUUGAGGGUGGUGAUACCAAUACUGAGAGCGCUGUAUUUCUGUCCUGAUCGAUCUCCUUACUAGUCUCGUCUUCCGAUGGUCCUCUGCCCAGUCUUGUGGAGCAGAAGAUGCACACGUAGUGUGUGGUGUCUGCUCUUGGCCUACACUCAUCAAGGAGACUGGGCAGGGGAGGAGCACAGCGCAAUGGCGCCGAGAUCUAGGGGCUACAAGUGCAGGACCCAACGGUUUUCUGUCUUCUCUUCCUAUUCUGUAUGUGACAUGGAUGGAGAGGCUAUUUUUUUUAAGCAUGCCUGUGUGUGUGUGUGUGUGUGUGUGUGUGCGCGCAACUGCUGUGUGUAUGCCUGUGCCUGUGUGUAAGCCUUUGCCUGGAUAUAUGUAUGCUUAUCUGUGCUUGUUUGUGCAUGUCUGUCUGUUAAUGCAUGUGUCUGUUUGUAUGUGCUUGCCUGUAUAUGUCUGCCUGUGUAUAUGUCUAUGCCUGUGUCUGUCCCUGUGUGUGCCUACUUGGGUGUGUGUACAUCUGUGUCUGUUUUGUAAUUAUAAUUCCUAACUAUUACUACACACAGAACCCCCACACACUCACAUUCAGCUAGUUCCACAAUACACACAAUCACGAUCAGCCAACCACACACAGCCCACUACCACACACAAUCAUAUUCGGCCAAACCCUCGCAUAAUCACAUACUGAACUACAAUUGAACAUCAACAAUAAACUGUACCCGCUUCAGGUGCAAAUCAAACUCCAUCACCUAAUUGGUACUUACAGGACCAUGGAGCUGCAGAGUGCAUACCUCCCAAUUCCGGUGCCUUGUGAAUCUGGAUGCCUGUGUAAAGGGGCAAUGGGGUGGGCCAGUGAGACAAUCAUAUCACUGACACCGCUGAAUUGGGCUGCCUGCCAAGAAGGGAUACAGGUCCACUCAAAGUAUUGUCAGGUUAGCCUGGUGUGAAUGCAUACCAGGUUGGCUGUCCAUCAUUUAAGCUGGCCCAUUGAGGGUUGAUCAUGCAGGAAGCACUGUUUUAUUGCUCUCUACAGGGUCCUAAUGCCCUGAGCAUAGCACGAGCAUAUCUAAUGAUGACCUUGCACUAUGCAUGUUGGGGACAGCUAUGUGGUUUCCCCAAAAGUGUGACACCAUGAAACUAGGUCAGGACAGUGGAACAGGACCCCAAAAAUCUGGAAUAUUCCACUGAAAUUGGAAUAGUCAUGAGGCCAAAGAGUUCCCCCUUAGAGUCGACAUUCUCACAAAUGAAUUCCUAAUUCACUGUAUAGUAUGACUGAGUGCCCAUGAGCAGAUAACUGGGUGGUAUGCAUUAAAAGUUAGCAUGGCACCACACCUUUCAUUAGCCACAAACUCCGUCUUAAUUAUUCCAUAUAUUUACAAGUUGGAAGGUAUGUUGAAAGAUGUGCUUCCAAAUUCCAUACACAAUAAUAAAUAAUAAAACAAAUUAGCAUUGUGUGUUUGUGUAUACACACAUAUUGUAUGUGACAUCAUGUACAAACAUAUCAUAGGGCUCCAUGCCAACCUUCUCUAUCUGUACAGAUGGGGUAUAAUUUGAGCUCCCUUUUCCUACCACACUCUUAAGCAGUAACUCUAGGUAAAACUUGAUGUCUGCAUGUAAGUAGCCAGAGACGGGGAUAUAGGAAGUCUUUGAGUGUAAUCAAUAUGUCAGACUGCAAUAUCAGUUUGAAUUUUCCAGUGUAAUGCAGGUGCUUGAUGUAACUUUACUUACAGAAACAUAUUUUCCCAUUCUAGUGACAGUAAUAGGAAAACCAAAAAAAUUCAGAGAAAUGCAACCAUUAGCGAGACAUUUGACCACUUGUAUUUAUCCUAUUUUGCCACACCUAUUUUAUGCUACAUCCCAACAUUAAUGUUGUACAAUAAGGAAAACCAUAUAAUCUCUAAUUUUUAAUCACUUCAAUAUUUUUGAGAAGGAUGAACAAAUAAAUGAAAAAUAAAAUUUGCAUAAAUGUAUAUGUUUAUCUCCGCAAUCUAUUCAGUAAAUGGCUGGCUCUAUAUCCCAUGGUUCAAAUUCAGUGUUAUGCUUUUUUCUUUCCUUUAUAUGAACCGAAGAGAUUAACCCUUAAAGCACCUUUAGGGAAAGUUAAGAUUGCAGUCAUAUCAUCAACUAUAUCUAAUCAUGUAUAACGUGUGUGAGAUAUACAAAUGGUUGAAGGAGAGCACUCUAUUAGACAUAUUAAAAGGUUUAAGAAUUCUACCAUACUCUAACUAUGUUGGUCUUGUUUGAAGCUGUUUGUAAAGGUUUCCUCGAUUAGUUGCAUUUGCUAGUUUAGUUAUCCCAUUGUGCUAAUUAGUGUGGUGAUGAAUGAUUUGCCAGUGUGAUAAGAUUUCAUAGAUGAAAAUGUCCUUUAUUCCUGCAGGAGAUAAGAAAGAACUGUAUCCGGAGCUUUGAAUAGAACGUGUAGCAGUUAGAUGCUGAAAUAGAGGUUGAUGAGGACCCCAGAGGGGCUAUUACGGGAUCCUUGAUUAGCUCACCAUUUUUAUGUUAUUAUAGAGUCACACAAAAAGCAGUGUUGGAAAGCCAUUGUCCGGAGCAUCAAUGUAGAUGAAACAUUAUACUAUUGAUAGCCUUUGUAAGUGAAGCAGAAGUAAAGAAUAGAUUACUUGCACAACCCUGUGUUUAGGAGCUUCUUUAACAUGAUACAUUUUCAUUUCUCUUUCUCUUCUUUAGUUCCAUAUCCAUUUACAGACCGAAGGAGAAUCCAAAUGUAUUUGAUGCUGCAGCAUUCUUCCAGUCUGUGGGCAAUUUCCUGGGGAUUUUUGCUGGUUCGUUUGCAAUGGG
RNAcentral lists this long non-coding RNA (45588 nucleotides) under Pelobates cultripes (western spadefoot toad). Lineage: Eukaryota; Metazoa; Chordata; Amphibia; Anura; Pelobatidae. The record is from RNAcentral.